This is a non-coding RNA of Callithrix jacchus (white-tufted-ear marmoset), 70336 nucleotides long. The record is from RefSeq and is a predicted model, not a curated record. NCBI's taxonomy places the organism in Eukaryota, Metazoa, Chordata, Mammalia, Primates, Cebidae.
ACUUUGCAGACAGAGCUAAGAACUUAAGUGUGGAUUCUAUGUGGAAGGCAGGAGAUGAGUAGUCAAGAGUUGAUUCCUAGGUUUUAGUUGAGCAACUGAACGUAUGAUGGUUCAAUUACUAAGAUGGGGAAAAUUCGAGGAGAAGUUGGUGGUGAGGGGAAUCAGAAGAUACCUUUUGGCCACAAUUGGUUUUAGAUACUUAUUAGAUAGUCAAGUGAGGUGGUUUAGUGGGCAGUGGAAUAAAUAUCUGUAGUUCAGUGGUGAGGUCAAGAUUAAAAUGACAAAGGUAGGUGUCAGCAACAUAGAGCUGACUUCAAAGCCAUGAGACAGGAUGAACUCCCUACAAGGGGAGGGGCUAAGUUUACUUCCUUAAAUUGAGAAAGUUGGACAGGAUGGUGUUUAAGGUCUCAUCUUCUUCAAAAAGUUAACUGUUUAUUGAAUUUCAGAGAGUCUCUGUAAGAAACUUGAAGUGAUGGAAUUUUUUUUGUAAAAUGCUGUAGCUGCUUUAAAAUAAUGAAAAGGAUGAAUGGGAAGAAAUACAGACAUUUAAGUAUUGGAAAUCUGUAUUUAUUCUGAAAUGGCUUGUUUACAAAGCAUAAUAUGUAACUGCGAUCAGAUAUCCUUCUGAAAGUGAAAAUAAUCUUCAUUUUGUAAGGUUUCAGUUAAACCCAAUUGGUGGUCAAUAUGAACUUAUUUUUAUCAAAACAUUUUAAACAGCUUUAUUGAGGAGUCAAGUGACACCCAAGCUGCACAUAUUAGAAGUGUAAAGUUAGAUGUUUUCACAUAGGUAUUCAGCCAUAGAGCUGUCACCACUAGAGAUAAUAGACAUACUUAUCAUCCCAACAGUUUCCGUGUACCCUUCAGUACUGUCUCCCUCCUGCCUCUGAUCCAUAGGCAACCACUGAUAAGCUUUUUGUAACUGUAGAUUACUUUUCAUUUUCUAACUUAUAUAAAUAGAAUCAUACAGUAGGUAUUCUUUUUUUCUGGCUUUUUUCAUUCAACGUGAUUAUUUUGAGAUUCAUCCAUGGUGUUUUUUGUGUCAGUAGUUCUUUUUCUUCUGUUUGCUAAGUAAUAUCCUAUUGUAUGUAUAUACCAGAUGCAUUUUUGCAGUCAUAAUGAAGUUAGACUACCUUCUUUUUUCCCUUCAGUGGGUCUCAGGAUUUGCUGGUAUUAUUUGUAAUCCUGAAAAUUUGAGACAAGUCUCAGUUAAUUUAGAAAGUUUAUUUUGCCAAGUUUGAGGAUGCACCCUUCUUAGACAGUCUCUGGAAGUCCUGAUAACAUGUGCCCAGGGUGGUCGGGACACAGCUUAGUUUUAUACAUUUUAGGGAGACGUGAGACAUCAGCCAACAUAUGUAAGAAGUACAAUGGUUGUGUCCAGAAAGGCAGGACAACGUGAAGCAAAGACAGAAAAAAGACUUGAAGUUGGAAGGAGCUUCUGGGUCACAGAUAGGUGAAAGAGAGGAGUGCUUGCAUUCUUUGAGUUUUUGAUUAGCCUUUUUAAAGGAGGCAAUCAGCUAUGCAUGUAUCUCAGUGACAGGCAGGUUAUCCCUAAGCAGUUCCCGGCUUGGCUUUUCCCUCUAGCUUAGUGAUUUAGGGGCCCCAAGAUUUAUUUUCCUUUCACACACCAAAGAGACUAAAAAUGUGAGUACAUAUACACACAGAGACACAUUCCAAACUCUCUUCAUAGAAGGGCUUCCUUGUUCUUGUAUUCAUCCCCUUCAUCCUGUUCAGGGAUGAGCUUUCUGCUGGCUUUCAUUUACCAGAGCAAGCUUGACAGUGCUGUGGAUAGGAAGCAGGCCCACCCUUUCUGUGUGUUUGUGUUCUGUGUGAUUUUUUUGGGAAUGUGUGUAUGUUGUUGAGCUUUUUUUUUUAAAUAUAGAUUGUGUUUAUGUCAGGAGGUUGCCUAAAAUAAAACUGAAGCUUCAUAGUUUAGCCUUUAGUUGUGUUUCAUAGUUUAGCAGUUAUGGAUUCAGUUAAUCUAGUACCUCUGAUUUCACAAGAGAGUAUAAUAACCCUUUGCUCAGUUCAUAGGAAUUUUGUAUAGUUGGUUACGACAGAGAUCAAAAUGAGACAAACACUCAUUCACGUGGUAAGUAGAUGCUUACCUUUAAUCUCUGUGGUGUCUUGAUUAAAUCACUUGCUUUCUGCUUCUGUUUCUAUGCAUUUGGAAAAGUUGACUGCUUUCUUGUUCCUGUGGAUGAUCUGAGAACACACAUGAGUUAAUCACCCUCUGGCUGUUUUUAACAUCAUGAGCUUACAUGCAGUUUAAGGAUUUCUGGGCUCUCUGUGCUGUUAUCUGGGGUUGUCUGAGGAGGAAUAGAAGCAGAUACGGUAGGAUGAUGACACAGGUUAGCAUGCAAGUGCAGUAAAGAAUUCCAUUUUGGAUGUUUUUAGAAUUUUCUGCAGGAUGUUCUGUUUUCUAGGUAAUUUGUAGAUUUUUACACUGCUUUAUAAAAAGCUCUUUCCUCAAUUGGUAGCUUUGAAUUCUUCUUCAGUAUUUAUGGGAAGUCAUAUUCUUGAUUUAGAUGUUCUGCUUUACCUUACCAAAGAUGACUCUACCAGUUGUGAAGCCAACAAGGAAGAAGAUCUGCUGCUCUGGGUAUCUAAGAGAUCACUUCAUCUUGGUACUUACGAGACUGCCUCAUUCUUUGUGAUGGCUGUAGAGUAUUCACUCCAUCGACUGAAUGUAACAUGUUUUAGUUGUCCCCGCCACUUUUCCUGUUAUAUCUAUGCUGAAGUACAUAAUACUUACAUGCAAAUACAUUAUCUCUCACAUUUCCAAAUUGUUCUCCAUUAACAUUUUAUCGUUAUGUACUUACACCAACAAGGUUUUAGUGUGUCUCUUUCCUUAUACACUCAACAAUACAGAGUGCUACUAGAGUUUAUCUGAUUGGCGAAAAUGUUAUUUUCUUCUGAUUUUUAACUUAUAUAUCUCUUAUUACAGAGUUUGGGCAUCUUUUCAUGUGAAUGAGUCAUUUGUAAUUCUUUUUCUGAGGACUCACUGUUCGUAUGUGCAACCUAUUUCUCUAUUAUAUGGUUACUGUUUUAUUGAUGAUAUGUAGGAGCUUUAGAUAUAUUAAGCAAAUUAGCUCUUGGCGAUAUGACUUAUACUGUUGCUUUUAAGUUUGUUGUUUGUCCUUCGAUGUUGCUUACCGUGUUUUGCCAUGAGGGGAUUUUUUAUAUUGAUGUAAAGGAAUUACAUCUAAUUUUAAAAAUUUCUUUCAAAUUUUGUGUUACACUCAAAACAUUGCAGAUAUUACGUUUAUCAUAUUUUGAAUACCCGCCUCAGCCUCUCAAAGUGCUAGGAUUACAGAUCCAACAGUGGCUGGAGCCACUGCACCCAGCUACUCAAGGCAAAUAUUGAGCCAAUGUACUUGGCCAUCCAAGGUUUUACCCUGAGUAGGGGAGCUCUGAGCACUGGCAUCGGAGGGAGCAGUCUCUUGGAUGAACUGUGGGAUAUACACAUUUUCUAAUGGGCACAGCAUUCCAAGGCUUCUCAUUCACAUCUUCUACAACUCCAAGUCUUGGGAUGCCUCAAACCCAUACUCUACAUGGGCUAGCCUUCAUUGAGCAGCUAGUGUGGGGCAGACAGGCCAGGGUGGGCACGCAAGAGGAAGGAGACCCAGACUUUGCCUCAAGGAGAUCACAUUCAAGCAGGAACAGAAUUACUCCAGAAUGUCAGAUCAAGGGACCAAAGCCUCUGAUUUUUUUUUCCUUUAUUUCUUCUCUCUCUAACUCUCUUUCUCUCUCUCUCAUUCUCUCUUCCUCUCUCCUUUCUUUCUCUUUCUUUCUGUUUUUCAAGAUAGAGUUUUACUCUUGUUGUCCAAACUGCUGUGCAAUGGCCUCAGGUGAUCCACCCACCUAGGCCUCCCAAAUGUUGGGAUUAUAUGUGUGAGCCACUGGAUCUUGCCACCUCCAAUUUUCACAGAAAGAGGCACAGAAAAAUUUGGCACCCAACAGAAAUGAGUUCAAAUAUCAGUUUCCCUAGUUCUUGGCUCAAGCUUUCCGGUUCUCAGUGAUUUCCUAUGAAAGGGAAUGAGAGGGGUCUGUGGUGACAAAAUCAUGGCAGGCAAGGUGACACUCACCUGCAAUCUCAGCAACUCAGGAGGUUGAGGUGGGAGGAUCGCUUGAGGGCCUACCUGGGAAACAUAGGGAGACCCCAACUCAAAAAAAGUAAAAAGGGGGCAUGGUGGCUCAUUCCUGUAAUCCUAUCACUUUGGGAGCCCAAGGCAGGUGGAUCACUGGAGGGGUCAGGAGUUUGAGACCAUCCUGGCCAACAUGGUGAAACCCCAUCCCUACUAAAAAUACAAAAAUUAACCAGGCGUAGUAGUGCAUGCCUGUAGUCCCAGCUACUUGGAAGGUUGAGGCAGAAGAAUCACUUAAACCCAGGAGGUGGAGGUUGCAGUGAGCUGAGAUCACCCCACGGCACACCAGCCUAGGAGGCUUUACAGAGCGAGACUCCAACUCCAAAAAAAAAAAAAGAGAGAGAGAGAGGAAGGGACAUCAAUCAACAAACAUUGGUGAUGAAUAGGGUAGUGGUGCCACUGCCUGGCUAAAAUAUAUAUAUAUAUGUAUGUAUGUAUGUACAUGUAUAUAUCUAUAUAUAUGCAUAUAUUUAUAUAUGUAUAUAUUUGUAUUUUUAGUAGAAACUAGGUUUCUUCAUGUUGAUUAGGCUGGUCUCAAACUCCUGACCUCAGGUGAUCCACCCACUUUGGCCUCCCAAAGUACUGAGAUUACAGGUGUGACUCACCGCACAUGGCUCUCCUUUUUUUCUUUUUUUUUUUUCGAGAGGGAGUUUCACUGUGUCUCCCAGGCUGGAGUGCAGUGGUAAAAUCUCAGCUCACUUCAACCUCCCCCUCUCAGGCUCAGGCAUUUCUCCAGCUCAGCCUUUCGAGUAGCUGGAAUUACAGGAGUGUGCCACCACAGCAGGCUAUGUUUGUAUUUUUGAUAGAAAUGGGGUUUUGCCCUGUUGACCAGGCUGGUCUCAGACCCCUGACCUGAGGUAAUCCACCGGCAUUGGCCUCCCAAAGUGCUGGAAUUACACACAGGAGCCUACCCCACCCCCAUCCAAGUAAGUUUCUUGAUUGCACAGAAUGUAUGGUGAUAUUGGUGGACUUAUGGACAUCCUCUCCAGCAUUGAGUGUUGUGUCUUGGGUGUGCUGUGCUUUUUGUUUGUUUUUUUUGAGACUGAAUCUCACUCUGUUGCCAGGCUGGAGUGCAGUGGCAUAAUUUUUUCUCUCUGCAACCUCCACCUCCCAGGUUCAAGCAAUUCUCCUGCCUCAACCUCCUGAGUAGCUGGGACUACAGGCACCUGCCACAAUGCCCAGCUAAUGUUUUUAAAAAGUGUUUUUAGUAGAGAUGGGGUUUCACCAUGUUGAUCAGGAUAGUGUCAAUGUUUUGACCUCGUGAUCCAACUGCCUCGGCCUCCCCAAGUGCUGGGAUUAUAGGCAUGAGCCACUGUGCCUGGCAUGUGCUCUGCUUUUAAACUCUUUUUUUUCUAAUAUGGGGUAGACUUGAAAGUGUGCCUUGUUUUCAUAGCCCUCAUGCAGCUUGUUUUGAACUGUUUUAUGUUCACAGUUUGGGAUAUAUUAGGCAAUAUUGCUGAGCUGUCCUGUCAACCUGAAUUUGAGCCCUUUAUCUGCCAGUAACCUUGCCAUGUGAUUAUGAGCAAGGUAUUCUAGCAUCUCUGUUCUUCAAUUUCUUUAUCUGUAAAAUGCAGACUAUGCCCAGCUCAUAGCACUAGUGUGAGGAAUAAAUGAAGAUAUGUGUAGAUCACUUUUACAUGGUAUGUGACACUUGGUAGGCACCAAAUCAUUAUUGCUGGGAGUAUAAGUACAUUCUUGCUUGUCUACACACACACAUACACACACACACAUACAGAAAGAGAGAGAGAGAGAGAGACAGAGAAAUUGCAGAGAUUAUACAAAAAGUUCCCAUGUACCUGUACCCAGCUUCCCUUAUAAUUAACAUCUUACAUUAGUAAGGUGCAUUUGUUAAAAUUAAUGGACAAAUAUUGAGAUGCUUUUAUUAACCCAAGUCUCUACUUCAUUCAGAUUUCUUGGGAUUAUUCCUAAUGUCCUUUCCUGUUCCAGUGUCUCAUCUGGGACAUAACAUUCCAUCUCAUCAUCAUUUCUCCUUAGGCACUCUUCCUGGCUGGGUCACUCGAGUUUCUUUUGAUUACAUUGAAAUUAAAUUUUGGUGCAGACAAUGAGAUCUCUGUUACAGAAUUCUUAGGUUAAAAUUUACUCACAAUGGCUGGGUGCAGUGGCACAUGUCUGUAAUCCCAACACUUUGGGAGGUCGAGGCGGACUCAUCACUGGAGGCCAGGAGUUUGAGAUCAGCUUGGGCAACAUAAUGAGACCCUAUCUCUACUAAAAAUAGAAAAAUGUUUGCCAGGCAUGGUGGCACACAUCUGUAAUCUCAGCUACUCUGGAGGCUGCGGCGUGAGAAUUUCUUGAACUCAGGAGGUGGAGGUUUCAGUGAGCUGAGACUGUGCGACUGUAUCCCAGCCUGGAAGAUGAAGCCAGAUUCUGUCUCAAAUAAACAAACAAACAAAUAAAUAAAUAAAUAAAAGGCAAACCUUAUUCACAAAAUUAUUAUAGGGCACCUGGUUGUAGCGCCUGAGCUGGAUGUGUAGUAGCCUCCCAAGAUCUUAACCUAAAGUCUGCCCUACUGUGGCUAAACCUGCUUGUAUGCCAGAAAGCAGACCCAAGCUGCUGAAAACCACCUGUACCUUAUCCUGACCCAUUUGUCCUCCCCCAUCUUUUGGUAAAUAAUAUCCAUUGAAAAAUGCUGGUUGGGCCUACAUGGUGACCUGAGUGAUAACACAUCUCAGGAAUGUGUGGGGGCAUGGGGUAGGAAAAGGAGGCCACUGUGUUUUUUCUAACAGUCACCUCAAAACUGCUGGUGCCUUGGUGAUGGAAGGGUGUCACCCCAACAUGUUAGCUGAGCUGUGUGGUUUCCCUGAAUGUUAAUAACUUUCACUGCUUUGGCUUGUGUUUCCUCCUUGAUAUCACCAACUAAAAAAAUGUCAGAAUUUUUUGGUUUCUGGUGCCAAAUCCAAGCUGGUUUAUCAGAAGACACCCCCUGCCAGACAAUGGAGUCUGUGUGCUGGGGCAGAGCCGCUUUCCCUUUGACACUGGCUCUUUUCUAAGAACUGAAAAUAAGCUGCAGAGGCUGUGACUUCACUUUUCUUGGAACUCCUUUACAUUACUCCCAAAAAUGCAGAAAAUCCUCAUUUAGCAGCUUUUGGAUUGCUGAGUUCUCUAUUUCUUUCUGUUGCAUAUUCUUGUAAUGCUCAAAUUUGACUGACAAAUUCUUCUGCAUCAGGUGAAGCAAGAGGGGGAAGGAAUGACCGUGUGAAGGAACUGAGUGCUUUGUCACUUGGCCUUUUUGUGGUUUAAUGGUUGAUGAGAAAAAGGACCUAGAAGAGACACUGUGUGUAGAAUGGCUUCCAAUUCCAAGGGUCACAACCCUGUGAUCUGUUGGCCAGCAGUUGGCUAGGGCUGAGGCAGAUGAACAUCAGGCCAAAGCCCAAACUUACAGAGCAUAUGCAAGGACAAGGAGAAAAUGCAUUUUCAGCCAUAAUGACCUACAUUUAGUUGACACUUUGGAGCUUGUGCAAAAGGACAUCUUCAAGGGGCCUCUGCCUCCUUGCAUAAAGGGAGAUAGUGAUGUCAGACAAACCUGGGGUCCGGUCCUGGUCCUGUUGGUUCCUUUUUGACUUUGGCCUUGAAAGUCAGUCUGUGAAAUGGAGAUCUCUUCCUUUGAAGGGUGGUACCUGGUAGGUUCUUGGGAACUGAAUUAAUGUUCCCCUCUUAAGAGUGGGUCUCUGUAGACAGGCACAUAUGCUGUUCUGAAAUCAUCUGUUGCUAUCUCUGUCUCUGUUGGAGGUGCUUCCAGUGAUAUGUGAGUGUUUCUUACUUAUCUCAGUAUCCCUGCCCAGCAUGGGGUCUUACAUAACAUACAUGGGCAGUCAUUCAGUGUUAGGACUGGCUGGGUUUUAGGCUGGAAGACAGUGGAAAUAUACAAGCAAAGGCAGUGCCUUGCAUUUACACGUGGCCUGCAGCAGUAUUCAAAUGAAAGGAGCUCCCUGCUUAGAAGGGCCUUUUGAAUUGGGCCCCCUGUAUAGUUUAUAGUUAACCUGAGGAUGAUGGCUAGACUGUUGGGGAGUGCUCUUUAAGUACAGAGGGAAGACUUGGUAAAGACAUAAAAGCAUGGAGGAAAAGGAGAUAGUCAGCUGAGUCCAAAAAAUGAUUCAUGUUGUUUGUUCACAAUCUGAAAUGAGAGGCCUUCAAGAUUGACUCUUGAUAAAGAAUGCAAAUUCAGCUGGGCUCAGUGGCUCACACCUGUAACCUCAGCACUUUGGGAGGCUGAGGUGGGCAGAUCACCUGGAGUGAGGAGUUCAAGAUCAGCCUGGCCAACGUGGCGAUAUCACGUCUCUACUAAAAAUGCAAAAAUUAGCCAGACAUGGUGUGUGUGUGUGGGGGGGGGUGUGCCAGUAAUCCCAGCUACUCAGGAGGCUGACACAGAAGGAUCAGUUGAACCCAGGAGGUGGAGGUUGCAAUGAGCUGAGACUGCUACUGCACUCCAGCCUGUGCAACAGAGCAAAGCUUUGUCUCAAACAAAACAAAACAAAAAGAAUGGAAGUUUAACAAAGAAUGAAGUGCCAGGGACUGUGAAAGAAGCCGUCUCAUAAGUUGCUUCAUUUUACUGUCCCUGUACCCCAAAGAGGUGCAUUUCCCCUGUCCCCUUUCACAGCCAUGAAAACUGCAGCCAUGGAGAUGAAGUCCUUUGUCCAGGGGCUCUCUCCAGUCACAGAGCCAGGUUAUGAACCAGUAGGUGCCCCUCAUCAUUAAGGACACUUGUGGGUGGUCAGGAGCAGGCCCUUCCAUACAGCAGCUCUUCCCCAGGGCAGCUCUGGGAGCUGAAGAUCUCUGCACGAGCACUGGCACACUCUUCUGGUCUGUGCUCGGGAAAUAGAAUGACAACCAGUCACCAGAAAGCAAAGGCACAGAAUGAAGCAAAGAAACAAAAUGGGGCCAUGAGAAGCUUCACUCCUGUUUACCCAGGAAUUCUGCCCAUUUUGGCCAGGCCGAGGUGGGGGUGGAGAGUUGUCAGAUUUGUCAACCAGAAGGGUUCUGAGGAGCUUGCAGUGGGGCCAGCCCCACUGUUCAUUCAUUGGAUAACGUUGGGUGGGUUAUUUCAGUGCCCUUACUUCUGGAUGACGGGGGGUCAGAGAGGUUAAAUAAUUCAUGGCUGCUAGCUGGAAUCCAGUGCUUAAAUGUUCAGUUUAGUGGCUAAUGCCUGUAAUCCCAGCACUUUGGGAGGCUGAGGCGGGUGGAUCAGCUGAGGUUAGGAGUUAGAGACCAGCCUGGCUAACAUGGUGAAACCCCAUUUCUACGAAAAAUACAAAAAAUUAUCUGUGCGUGGUGGCACAUGCUACUCGAGAGGCUGAGACAGGAGAAUCGCCUGAACCCAGGAGGCAGAGGUUGCAGUGAGCCAAGACUGCACCAUUGCACUACAACUUGGGCAACAAGAGCAAAACUCCAUCUCAAAAACAAAAGGAAACCACAAAAGUUCACUUUAUUUGUCUUUCUGUGGCCAAACGCCUGCUGGGUUCCAGGCUCUGGGGAUACACGAGGUGAACGAGAUGCAUGGUUGCUCCCUGUGCGGCAUGGUGACUUCUUGGACCUCCCAUUCCUCUUUAUUGUUCCUGUUUAAGCCCGAGAAAGUACUGUGCUUUUAAGAACGUGUGUGGUUAGAUUGGGCUCACCUGGUUAUUCAGGCCAAUCUCCCUGUCUCAAACCCCUUACUAAUCCCACCUGCAAAGUCCCUUUUGCUACAUAAGGUGACAUAUUCAGAGGUUCUCAGGAUUAGGACAUGGAUAUUGUGUGGGGAGGAACAGUCUGCCUAUCUAGUCAGCUCUUUAGACCCUGAAGAUGUGUGCUCAUCCCAAAUACAAAAUACAUCCACCCUGCCCCAAGGCCUCAUGCCAUUAUAACAUCAACUCAGGAGUCCAAAAUCUGCUCUAAACCUCGUCACCUAAAUCACCUCAAUCUGGCAUGGGGGAGGCUCCUGGAACUUAGUAAACCAGUUACCUGGCCCUAAAGUGUAGUGAGCGGCCACCCAGAGGGGUAUAAUCUAGUUCUGUCCCUGAUCCAAGGGACCUGAUAUGUGAUAUGGACAAGAAAAGGAAGAAACAAAGAAGCUGUACACCCAGAAAUACCAGACCACUAAGCCUCCUUUCCUCCUGGUCACAGAGGAUAGGGAAAGGAGUUUCUCCAAAGGGUCUGUCAGCACCUCAUUCCAUGUCCUGUGAACUUGGGAGAAGGCUGACCUAGACACUUUUCUUCAGUGGGUACUGCUCAUUUUAGAAAGUGAAUCAAGCCGGGUGCGGUGGCUCACAUAUGUCAUCCCAACACUUUGGGUGGCCAAGGCGGGCAGAUAUGCUGAAGCCAGGAGUUCAUGACCAGCCUGCCCAACAUGGCAAAACCCUGUCACUACUAAAAAUACAAAAAUUAGCGAGGCGUGGUAGUACACGCCUGAGGUCCUAGCUUCUGUGUAGACUGCAGCAGGAGAAUCGCUUGAAUCCAGGAGUCAGAGGUUGCAGUGAGCCAAGAUCAUGACUGUGCACUCCAGCUUGGGCCACAGAGUGAGACUGUGUCUCGAGACAAAAAAGAGAGUUGGAGUCAGGGCCUGCCCUGGGGUCUUCCAUCGGACAGCUGCGCAUUACUUACAGGUGAAAAUUUUCCCAGAGCACAGCUAAGCCUGGUUGUCCUGCUUGUAGGACUCUGGCAUGUAGCUAAUUAUCAGCUCCACCUGGGCUGUUUUUACCUGGUCCCUACCCGUAUCUUCAAUUAGAAGCCACGUGCUUUGGGCUCAAGAAAGUCUAAGCUUUUAGAAAGCUCUCCAGUGACUCUCAUCAUCAACCAGGUUUGGCAGACACAGAUCUACAGCUUUCUGGCCCAGAGACACCUGGGGCACAGGAGGGGUCAGAGCUGCCCAUGACACUGGUUGUGAACUGGUGAAGGCUCCCUUGAGUGGGGACCCUGGAGUCCAGGGGACCAGGACCAAGGGGUCCCUGCCUGCCCCGGGCUUCUGAGGGGGAGAAGAAAGGAAGGCUGGAAAAGCCCAUGUUUAGGAAUAGAGCUUCUCUACCUCCUGGAUGUCCAGGGCCAUCCUUGAUAUGGGCCGUUGCAAGGUAGUGAUAUCAAGUUUCCUUUUUAAAAAGCCCUGUGACUGGUUGCAGUGGCUCACACCUGUAAUCUCAGCACUUUAGAAGGCCAAAGUGGGCGGAUCACCUGAGGUCAGGUGUUCGAGACCAGCCUGGCCAACAUGGUGAAACCCUGUCUCUACUAAAAAUAUAAAAAUUAACCAGAUGUGGUGCUGUAUGCCUAUAUUCCCAGCUACUCAGGAGGCUGAGGCAGGAGAGUCACUUGAACCCAGAAGGCAUAGGUUGUAGUGAGCUGAGAUCACUCCAUUGCACUCCAGCCUGGCUGUCAGAGUGAGAUUUUAUUUCAAAAAAAAGUGAGCCCUUUUACAGAAAACUAUUAAGUAAACAAUAAUACAGUAGUACCUGAGAGACUGAUGUGUGGGUACUUGGUUUUCCUUGAUGUUCUAGAGUAGAGCUGCACUGUCUAAUGUGAUUGUCAGCAGCCUCAUGGAUCUAUGGAGUACUUGGAAUGUGCCGGAGUGGCAGGCAGGGUUGCCAAACUCAGCAAAUAAAAGUUGAGGAUGCCUCCUCCAUCAGUGUGGGCUGUGCACAGUGACUUUCUUCCAGAACGGAAAGAGGGAUAAGAGUAACUUUACAGUGGCAGCCAGCUGGUUUUAAUGUCAAGUGAUACACCAUUUUAACAGCACACCUGGGUAAGACACCUGAGGCCCUAGGGGGCCAGGACUUAGAAUCUUCAAAUUCUGCAGCCACUCGUCUUCUCACUGCCCUCACCUGGCUCCUGCAGAGAGUAGUGACAGUGCCCUAAGGGGCCUCUAGGAGCCUAAUGGGACCACAGGAGGUCUCUUGGAGGCCUGGAGAGGCAUGUGAGGACUUGGCAUUUUCCAAAGGUAUGACAGCUGGGGUUGGUGCUUGAGAUCUCUGGUCAGUGCUGGUAAUGCUGUGUAAUGAAUUGCCACAAACUUAAGAGCUUAAAAAAACAAAUGUAUUGGUCGGAUGCAGUGGCUCACACCUGUAAUCCCAGCACUUUGGGAGGCCAAGGGAGGUGGAUCACGUGAGGAUGGGAGUUCCAGACCAGCCUGACCAACAUGGAGAAAUCCUGUAUUUACUAAAAAUACAAAAAAUUAGCCAGGUGCAGUGGUGUAUGCCUAUAAUCCCAUUUACUUAGGAGGCUGAGAAAGGAGAAUCGCUUGAACCUAGGAGGCAGAGGUUGCAGUGAGCCAAUGUCACACCACUGCCCUUCAGCUUGGGUGACAAAGCAAGACUUCAUCGCAAAAAAGAAACAGGCUUGUUAAAUUCCUCCCAUGUGUUGAUGCCCUUGCUAUAAUAUCUAUUUAUGUUAUUAUGAGUCACCCGCUCCCAGGGCUGCCCUGCCCAUUGCGAGACCUCUUCUGUCUUCGUAAGUGUGAGACAGUGUUUUCCCUGCCUUUACCACAUUGUCCGCCUCUCUCGCUGGGUGUCACACCCAUUUAAGGAGAGUGAGCACAUUGGCUGUGGGAUCUUGGUCUCCCCAGUUUGGCAGCAGCAGGUCCCUGACUUGGCAUAAGAAAUAAAUGUCAGUGGAAAAAUAUUUUCUUUUUUUGAGAUGGAGUCUAGCUCUGUUGCCAGGCUGGAGUGCAAUGACACAAUCCCCACUCACUGCAACUUCUGCCUUCCAGGUUGAAGCGAUUCUUUUGCCUCAGCUUCCUGAGUAGCUGGGACUACAGGCAUGUGCCACCACACCCAGCUAAUUUUUGUAUUUUUUAGUAGAGAUGGGGUUUCACCAUGUUGGCCAGGAUGGCAUUGAUCUAUUGACCUUGUGAUCUGCCCGACUCAGCCUCUUAAAGUGCUGGGAUUACAGGCAUUUUACUAUCUAUGUGCAUGUCCCAACACAAAUGUCGUUGCACCUGUUGAUGUGUGUCUUAAGCCUGAGGUAGGGAAGUUUGGUAGGUGGAAGUUACUUUCCAUCUCCUUUCUCAUAGCAUGGCACAUGGAAGAGAAGAUUUGGGCUUUAGCAUUUCACUGUGAGCAUCCUGUUUAUUCCAUGGUCAUGGGCCUUACUACCAAAUUUACUUGAAAACCUUGUGAAAUUAUUUAUGCAGAAAGAAUGAGGAAUCUCGGGUAAUGGGAAAGCAACUAGUCAGUUUUGGAAAACCUCCAACAUCGGUAGUUUACAACUAAUUGGAAAAACAUGUCUCAUCUCAGUUGAGUUAAUCCUUUCUGCAGUGCUGGGCACCUUAAGUGUUCCCAGAAGGUUUAAGGAGCAGACUGAGCUCCCAAGGAGGCCAGCAUAGUGACAAAAAAGGACAAAGGGCUCUGCCUGCCCCUGAGGGUCCUUCAGUCAUGGUCAGCUCUGUCUAGGGGAGCAAAGACCAUGUCUGUCCUCAGCCUUCCUGGCUAUGGCAGGAGCAUGGGGUUGGGAGAGAAGAGCAUGGGCAUUUCUUCUGGCUGGAAACUUAGCCUUUGAAACAAGGCUCCACGGGCAGAGUUUCAGACCCAAACAGGAGAAUGAGAUGGCCAAUGUUGAUGCUCUCAGAGUGGAGGGUCCUGAACUGUCUGAUUAUAAGUGCAGUGUUGGGUCCUUAUGUACUUUUACAAGGGUAUUUUCAGAGACACGGAGGUCAGUGGACCCACUUUCACUUUGUCAUUGAAGGUCUCUGGAAAAGAGUGUUCCCAGGGAUAGAUGAUCUGAUGGGGCCACGGCCCCACCAGUGUCCUUAAGAGGGAAAGCUCUGUCAGCAGAGAGAACCUCAGCCCUGGCUGAUCACACAGGAUACACUAGGGUGGGAUCUGCAGACACCAGCAGCCUGCCCUAAGGCUCCCAAGUCAGAAAGCCCCAGUCAUUUCCAGUCCUGGUUUUGCUAGCCAGUCUCAGUUUCUGGCUUUGUGUCUUGGGGGGGCUGAUGCAAUGUUGUUUGUGAGAUGGAGCAAAUGGUAUUGCUCCUACCCCCACCAGGCUGGCGUCAGGAUGAAAUUCAACAUAGAAAGCAUCCUCCCCCUACCCCCAUGGACCAAGAGGUAAUGCUAUUAGAGUUACAUGGGUUUGGGGUUUCCCCUUACUGUUUCCAUUUCCUUCCUGAAACCGUGAAAGAGGCUUCGUGGGAAAGGAAGUUUCUCUCAGAUGCCUGAGUCCAGCUGGGAGUAGCUGUUCCCAGUUAGCCAGGCUGAUUGGAGUCCAGGGUGAGUUGGCUGAGUUGUGGGUUUGAACCGCCAGAGCCACUGAGGCACAGCUGGCCCACUGCCAAGUGCUGCCAACCAUCCUGUAAAUUCCACCAUUGCUCAUGCCUGGGAGACGCUUCAGCAUUGACCGAAAGGGUUGCUAGGUCUUGUUUUGCUCAGGACAGGGCACUGAAGAGUGAUCUGUUGUCAUACUCUAAGGACAGAUCUGGGUCCUGUGCCUCCCAGGGACUCCAAACACAGAAUGCCCUUGACAGGACCCCAGCCCAUGGGCACAGCCCCUUUUGUUAGUAUUAAUUAUGCACUUAUGUGAAAUGCACCUGCUCUUGAAGAGGGGAUAGCCAGUGAUUAAAAUAGUUGAGAGCAGGUCACCAGGCUCUUUCAGACUCCAUUAGGAAAUGGCUCUUAGAGGGUUACUUUAGAGCAAGGGAAAGGUCUCCCUGUUGUAGGGGCUCUGUGCCUGGCCAGCUUCUUUAAAUCCUGGCCUGCUCCAGCAAUCCAAGAUGGCUCUGAAGUAGGAACUGCUACUUAAUUUGCAGGGAUCAGUACAAAAUGAAAAUCAAUAAUUUUCAGAAAUUAAGAUGAAGGUGGGCUGGGUGCAGUGGCCCACGCUUGUAAUCCCAGCACUUUGGGAGGCCAAGGCAGGCAGAUCACAAGGUCAGGAGUUCGAGACCAGCCUGGCCAACACGGUGAAACCCUGUCUCUACUAAAAAUACAAAACUUAGCUGGGAUGGUGGUGGGUGCCUGUAAUCCCAGCUACUUGGGAGGCUGAGGCAGGAGAAUUGCUUGAACCCGGGAGGUGGAGAUUGGAGUGAGCUCAGAUCACACCAUUGCACUCCAGCCUAGGUGACAGUGCAAGACUAUUCUCAGAAAAAAAGAAAAAUGAUUCAAGCAGCAGAGCCUUCAAGCAAGCAUUAGGGACCCUUCUGAGCACGGGGCCCUGGUUGUGAAGUUUGUACACUGGGCCAGGUCUGGAAAGAGUGCAAGGCAUGCAGCUGGCCUGAACCAUGUGGGUGAACUGAGUCACCCUGCCCUUUGUGGGGGUUGAUGGGGAUUUUUUUCUAGGCUGCUGGCCUGGGCAUGGCUGACGCAUGAGUGGGGCUUGUCCUGGUCUGGGCUGAAAAUAAUACACUGGGACAAGUUGAAGGGAGGGGGAUUGGAGCAGGGUGCUCCAGGGAGCAUCAUCUGUGUCCAACAGGAAGUCCCUGAGCUUGGACACAUGACUUAAUCAUCUGUCACGAGGUUCAGAGCAAAACCCAGAAGGCCAGGCAAUGAUGCAUUGAAACUCUCCCUACCCAAGUUAGCAUUUUCCAGUAUCAUUUAAAAAUGUUUUAUAGAUAAGAGGUCUCGCUGUGUUGGACAGGAUGGUCUCAAACUUUUGGUCUCGAGUGAUUCUCCUGCCUUGGCCUCCCAAGGUGUUGGGAUUAUAUUCAUGAGUCAUUGCCCCUGGACUCCAACACUGUUUUAAAAUUUUUGAUAUAUCUGUGAUUUUUGGAUUAUACCUGUUUUGUGACUUCCAUUGGAGAAAAUCAACCUGGCUGGGUGAGGUGGCUCACGCCUGCAAUCCCAGCACUUUGGGAGGUUGAGGUGGGCAGAUCACAUGGCAUUUCUCUUGUGAGAGUUUGAGACCAGUUUGGACAAAUGGUGAAACCCCGCCUUAACUAAAAACACACAAAUUAGCCAGGCAUGGUGAUGGGUGUCUCUAAUCCCAGCUACUCAGGAGGCUGAAGCAGGAGAAUCUCUUGAACCCACGAGAUGGAGAUUGCAGUGAGCUGAGAUUGUGCCACUGCACUUCUGCCUGGGCUACAGAACAAGACUCUGUCUCCAAAAAAAAAAAAAAAAGCCAUCAAAAGCAGAUGUUUGUCACUGCCAGGUGACCUUACUAAUCACUGACCAUGGGCGUACAAGGACAAAUGAAAUGAGGGCAAAAUAACUUAUGCCUUGUUUUCUUUGCCUUUGACCUUCAGCCCCAUGCAUUCCUGCAAAUGUUUUGCCCACAGCAAACCUUUGAAUACCUUAACUUUUCUGUUUUAAAUGAGAUUUCCAAGUGAAUUGAUGUCUGAAAAGAUAAUCCCUUUAGUGGAGAGCAAUUGGUAUUUGAAGAGAAUGAGAUCAGGUUGCUAAGGACACCCUUGUUUGUAAUCUUUGGUUUAUAUAAAUUAUUGGUGAAUAAGAGAAAUAAGUUUAUUCUUUCUUUUAGAUGGUAAACCGGAAGGGAAGUGUGUUAAGGGGUAAAGUGAGUCAUGGGGUGUGGGAGGCUCAGAUGGAACAGGGCUCUGGGACACCUCUCUUUCUUGACAUUGGACCUCUAAUUUCCAUCCCAGGCCUCAAAUUAAAAGACAAAGGCUUCUAAUCUGCUUGGGUGGGAACACAUAAAAAUUCCUCUGGGUGGAUGGAUAGGGGUGGGAAGGAGGAAGUUUGUAGAAACUGAAAGAGGACUUUUUUGGGGAGAGAGGAAGAAAUCUCUUGUUUAAUUACAAAACCAAAAUAUCAUUGGCAUAAAGUUUUCAGGGUUCAUCCAUAUUGUUGCAUAUGUCAGAACUUAAUUUUUUUGAUGGCUGAAAAUACUUCAUAUAUAGUGUAUUUUGUUUAUCGAUUUACCUGUUGAUGGACAUGUGAUAUUUCUACUUUCGGCUAUUGUGAAUAAUGCCAUUAGGAACACUGGCAUGCAAGUAACUACUUGAGUGCUUGUUUAUAAUUUUGUUGGGUAUGUAUCAAGGAGUGGAUUAUUGGCUUAUGUAGUAAUUCUAUAUUUAGCAAUUUUAGAAACCGGCAAAUUGUCUUCCACAGUGGCCACACUAUUUUGCAUUCCUACCAGCAGUAUCAAGUUCUCCAUAUCCUCAUCAACACUAGUUAUUUCUUUGUUUUUGAUUAGAGCCAUGCUAGUUGGUGUGAAGUGAUACUUACUGUGGUUUGUAUUUUCAUUGCCCUAAUGACUAAAGAUUUUGAGGAGCCUUCAAUGCACUCAUUUGCCAUUUGUAUCAAGUUAUUUGCCCUUUGCAACCUUUUUUUUGUAUUCGUUGUGUUAUAGGUGUUCAUAUGUGUUUUGAAUAUUAACCCCUUAGAUACAUAAUAUGCAAUUAUUUUCUCGCAUUGUGUAGAUUGUACUUCACUAUAUUUAGAGUAUCUUUUCAUAGACAAAAAUUUUUAAUUUUGAUGAAAUUUAUCUUUUGUUGUUGCCCGUGAUUAUAAUAUCAUAUUUAAAAAAUAUUGCUAAAUCGGUGGCCAUGAAGAUUUGCCUCAGUUUUGUUCUGAGUUUAUAAUGUGUGGUCUCAAAUAAAGGUCUCUGGUCCAUAUUGAAUUAAUAUCUGUGUAUGGUAUAAGGUAAGCGUCCCACUUUAUUUUCUUGCAUGUUAAAAUCCAGUUGUCUCGGCACCAUUUUUUGAAAAGACGGUUCUGUAGGACCUUAGCAUCAUUGUUAUGAAUCAAUAGGCCAUGGAUUUGAGAAUUUCUUUCUGGGGUCUCAAUUCUAUUCCAUUGGUUUAUAGGUCUAUCCCUAUGCCAAUAUCCCAUUGCUUAUUUAAAUUAUAGCUUUAUAUUUAGUUUUGAAAUCAGAAAUUUGAGACCUCCAAAUUUGAUCUAUUACAAAAUUGUUUUACCCAUUCAGGAUCCCUUGAAAUUCUAUAUAAAUUUUAGAAUGGUUUUCUUUAUUUCUGUGAAGGAUGCUGUUGGAAUUUAGAUAAGGAUUGCAUUAAAUCUGCCAAUUAUUUGAGUAAUAUUUUCAUCUUCACAUUAUUAAGCUGUAAGAUAUUAACUUCUUUUCAGAUAUAUGAACAAAAUCAGAUAUAUGAUUCUGACUAAUGAAUCAGGUUUCCCAGUUAUUUAGGCCUUUUUAAAUAUCUUUCAACAAUGGUUUAUAGUUUUCAGUAUACAAGUCUUGUGACUCCUUUGUUAAAUUUAUUCCUAAGUAUUUUAUUUUUUUAUGUUACUGUAAACACAACUGUUCUCUUAAUCUUCUUUCACUUGAUUGUAUGUAGGAAUCCAAAUAAACCAGUUAUGCAAUGAUUUAAUAUCUUGAAAUUUUAUGAGCUCAUUUAUUGGUAUUGACAGCUUUGUGUGUGUAUAUAUAUUCUUUAUAGUUUUUGACUUAUAAGAUUGACUUCUUUUCCAAUCUGGAUAUUUUUAUUUCUCUUUCCUGCAUAUUUGCUCUGACUACAACUUUAAGUAUUACGUUAAAUAGAAUAGUGAAAAUGGGCAUCCUUGUCUUGCUCUUGAUCUUAGGAGAAAAGUUUUCAGUCUUUCACCACUGAGUAUGAAAGUUGUGAGUUUUUCACAUGGCCACAGCAUGUUGAGAAAGUUUUCUUAUAUUCCUAGUAUAUUGAUUAAUUUUAUCAUGAAGGAGUGUUAAAGUUUGUUAAGUGCUUUUUCUGUAUCAAUUGAGAUGAUCAUGUAGGUUUUUCUUUUAUUCUAUUAGGUAGUUUAUUAAACUGACUGAUUUCAUAUGUUGAACCCUUCUUUUGUUAUUGGGAAAAAUCUCAAUUGGUCAUAGUGUACAAUGCUUUCAGUAUUCUGAAUUAAGUUUAUUGAUACUAUUGUGAGGACUUUUGCAUCUAUAUUGAUAAGGAAUAGUGGUCUAUAGUUUUCCUUUUCUUGUUGGGUCUUUGUCUAUAUUAGGAUAGUGCUAUAUUCACAGAAGGAGGUAGGACAUGUUUCCUCCUCUUCUCUUUUUGAAAAAGUUUGAGGACUGGUGUUAAUUUUUCUUUAAUUGUUUGGCACCUUCACCAAUGAAUCCUUCUGAUCUUGGGUUUUUCUUCAUUAGGAGGUUUUAGGUCACUGAUUAAACCUCUCUGUUUCUUUUAGUUCUAUUCAUAUUUCCUACUUCUUCUAGAGUAGGCUUUGGUGGUUUAUGGUUUGUUUUUACCUUAAUUUAUUUCUUGUUGCUAUUGUGAUUACUUUUUCUGAUCUAAUGUUGUUUAAGACCAUAAUUUUUAGAAAAAUUUUCACAUAUUUGUGAGUUUUUCACAACUUUUUCUUCUGUUAUUGAUGGUAGUUACAUUGCAGAGUAGUCAGAAAAGAAUUAUGAUUUCAAUAUUUUUAAAUUUAUUAAGAUGUUUUGUGAACUUAACAUAUGAUCUGUCUCAAAGAAUGUUCCGAAUGCAUUUGAGAAAAUUGUAUACUCUGCUACUGUUGAGUGAAGUGCUUUCUGAGUAUUAGAUAAAAUUGGUCUAUUGUGUUAAGUAUUAGAUACAAUUGGUCUAUUAAUCUUCUGUCUGGUUAUUCUAUUCACUAUUGAAAAUGGAGUAAUUAAGUCUCCAGAUAUUAUUGUUAAACUAUGCCUUCAAUUCUGUUAAUUUUAGUUUCACAUGUUUUGGGAGUGUUGUCAUUAGAUGGGUAUAUAAUUUGUAUGUUUUCUUGAUGUAGGGCAACUUUUAUCAAUAUAUAAUGUCUUUGGCCAGGUGUGGUGGCUCAGGCCUAUGAUCCCAGCACUUUGGGACUCUGAUUUGGGUGGAUCACAAGGUCAGUUCAAGACCAGCCUGACCAAUAUGGUGAAACCCUGUCUCUACUAAAAAUAUAAAAAUUAGCUCAGCGUGGUGGCAUGUACCUGUAGUCCCAGCUACUUGGGAGGUUAGGCAGGAAAAUUUCUUGAACCCGGAAGGCACAGGUUCCAGUGAGCCAAGAUGGAACCACUGCACUGCAGCCUGGGUGUCAGAGCAAGACUCCAUUACGUGUGUGUGUGUGUGUGUGUGUGUGUGUGUGUUCAUCUUUAUUUCACUCGUAAAAUUUUUGACUUGAAAUCUAUUUUGUAUGAUAGCAAUAUAGCCACCCAGCUCUGUUUUGGAUGCCAUUUGCAUGAAAUAUAUUUGUCCAUUGUUUUUAUGCAAACUUUUUGUGUUUUUGUAUUUACAAUGACUCUCUUGUGAACAGUAUGUAGAUGGAUCUUUUUUUGUUUAUUCUGCCAAUUUCUGUCUUAUGAGUAGCAGGGUUUGAUCCAGUUACGUUGAAAAUAAUUACUGAUAAGAAAAGACUUACUUCUGUCAUUUAAUUUUGUUUUCCGUAGGUUUGUUGUUGUUGUUGUUGUUGUUCUUCAAUUUCUCUAUUACCGCCACCAUUUUUUGGUAUUCUGUUGAUUUUUUUAUAGUUUGCCAGUUUUUCAUUUUGUAUUGUUUAAAGUUAUUUUCUUAGUGGUUUUCUGGGAAAUUACACUUAAUGUCUUAAACUUGUAACUAUCUAGCUUUAACAGUAACCCAAUUUAUAACCAACUUAGUUUCAAUAGCAUAGAAACAUUCUGCUUCUAUCCAUCUCCUUUCCUACCCUUUAUAUUGUUAUUGUCACAUAUUAUGUCAUUCUAUAUUGGGAACUCAUUACCAUAGAUUUAUAAUGAUUGUUUUACGCACUUUCCCUUUAAAUCAUAUAGGGAAAAAAGUACAAGUAAAAAGUACAAUAAGAGUGGCUUGUAUAUAAAGUUACUUUUACCAGUCUUCUUUAUUUCCUCUUAUAUCUUGAGUUCAUGCUGGUAUUCUUUCAUUUCAGCCUGAAUAACUCCUUUUAGCAUCUCUUAUGGGAAAAAUUUACUGGCUUCUUUUGCCAACCUGACAAAGAAGAAUGGGCUGUUCACCACACCAUUUUCUCUUCCUCCAUGUCACUCAGCUAGGCUCCUCUUGCCAGCCUCUUUUGCAGGUGUUAGAUAAAAUAGUAGAAUGUUAAAGUGGUACAUACCUGGCCAUUCAGACCUCCCACAUAUGAUUAUCUCAAUACAUGCAGUAAAAGCCUUUGAUAAAAUUUAACAUCCCUUCAUGUUAAAAAUGCACAGUAAACUAGAUAUUGAUGGAACAUAUCUCAAAUUCUUCUUAAACUUUUCUAAAGUUUAGAACUAGAGAGAAUACAGUCAAACCCAUUUUGGGGCCAGCAUCAUUCCUGUGUCAAAGUCAGACACAAUAAGAAAACUACAGACCACUAUCUAAGAUGAACAUAGAUGGAAAAAUCAUCACUAGAACACCAGCAAAAUGUACUCAAGAAACAUCAACAAAAUUACACAUAAUGACCAAGUUGGAUUUAUCCCUGUCUCAGCACUGUUUUUAUCAUGAAACAAUGGUAAAGAGGCUGAAAAGACAACUUAAAUACUGAGAGAAUAGAUUUACCAAACAUGGUCUCUCUUAAAAGUUUAAUAUCUAAAAUAUGUAAGAAAUUCAAACAACACUAAUAGCAAAAUAAAUAAUAACCUGAUUAAAAAAUAGGUAAAGGACCUGAACAGACUUAUCUCCAGAGAAGACAUAAAAAUGGCCAACAAGUACCUGAAAAUGUGCUCAACAUCACUAGUCAACAGGGAAAUACAAAUCAAAACCACAAUGAUUUAUCCACUAACAUCUGGUGAGAUGCUUGUUGUGAAAAAGUCAAGAGAUAAGUAGUGGUGAGGGUGUAGAGAAAAGGAAACACUUGUAACCUGUUGAUAGGAAUGCAGAUUUAUGUAGCCACAUUUUUAUUUGUUUGUUAAGCAAAAUAUCCUUGUUGGCAAAGUCCCAUGUGAAAUAUAGAAUGCAGUAUUAUUCUAAGAUGGAGUUUAAUGAUGGGUUGCUCGAUACACCCAAAUUUCAUAGUUUUGGGGUAUUUCUGGAUUUACUUCCUCAGAGUUUCCUCUCGUAGUUGUGGGAGACUUUUCUAUUUCUGUUGCUACCUGGCUGCCAAAUAUUACUUCUUUCUAGAAUUCAUUUAAAUAGUAUAAUCCAUCAAAAAUAUAAAGAUUUUUGUGAGUUUUGAAAAAAAAUGUUGUAUUACACAAGGAGUCAAUGGAAAUCUUCUUGGCCCGGUGUAUUUUCCAUCCUUCCUCUUGUGGACAUUCUUCAUCCAAAAGGUUCCAGGCCUCUGGUGAAGUGUCUUUCCCCACUGAGUCUAGUCCCUAGGUCUUAGAAGGGAGUGACUCCCUGAAGCUGAUGCUAAUUUUUAGCUAUGUUGAAUUCUAAUGAAUAAUAUUCACAUCACAUUAAAUUUUUAUUUCUUAUGAAAUUGUUCUAAAUUGCCAUCUUGUCUCCCAGUCCUUGAAGAAUAAAUGGACCUUGAUCUUGCAGAUCCAGCAAUCUUAAUUCAGUUCAGCUGCCACAUUUGACAGAUGAGGAAACUAAAGCUCAGAGAAGGGAAGUGAUUUAUCACAAAAUAUUGGGGCUGUUUGGAAGCAGAGCUGAAGCCAUAACUCUGGUCUUUUUUCUCUUAGGCCAAUGCCCCUAUCCACUUGUGACAUUUUUUGCUUCCUUCCUGAUUGGCAAGAUUGUAAUAAUGAAAGGUGACAGCGUUGCUUAUGCACCUUGUAUUCUUGUCUAUUAUAACUAUAAACCCAAAUAUGUUUCCCAGAAUAGUUAAUCAUCUAGUAGAAGGUAGUGUGAUUUCUCGUCCUGUAAAUCAUUAAAAAAACACCUCUGGUACCUUCUAUUAUGUUCGCCAUAUUGUUUUUUAGGCUAUAAGGAAGUGAUCUCAUGUAGUUGUGUAUAAAUACUGCCUGUUGGUCUCUCCUUAUUAGUAGAUGCUGACUAACAUUACAAGGUAAUAAUUGGUUAUAUUGUACUAGGAGAAUAACAGUUUAUAACAAUAUUACCUGCAAUAAACUACAUAGUUUAUUUUCUAUUCAAUGAAGCAAUUGUUUGGCUUUUUGGCUACACAGUUUUUUGCAUAGCUAAGUUUGUUUUGUCAUAAGGCAAUCAGGCGGCACAAAAGUAUUAACAACUACAGGAAACCAGCAUCUAGCAAAGAAAUUUGAAGAUCAUGUUCACCCUGAAUAAACAAGUGGCUUUAAAAAUUCUUCCAACUUUUAACUUCAAACAGAAAAGUUGAAAAAGAAGUACGGUAAAGACACAUGUGCCCUUUAUUUAGAUUCACAAAUUAACAUUUUCUGGGAUUGGUUUUGUGUGUCUCUAUGUCUCUUUUCCUCUUCACAUACACACUCAUUUUCUCUCUCUUACACACACGUACAUAUACAUGCAUACGCUCACAUUUUGUGUAGCUCUGAACUGCCUGAAAGCAAUAUUCAGAUAUCAAGAUUGUACAAGAAUACUUAAGGCAGUUUUCCCAAAAUUAGCACAUUCUUUUAUAUUACUACAAUAACAAUCACAAGACAUUUGCUACUGAUAAUUAAUAUUAUGUAGUAUGCAGUCUAAAUUUAAAUGUCUCCACUUGCUCUCAAAUAUUCUUUAUAUUAGUCAGGGAUCUUAUAUUGGAAUUUUUAUCAUGUUUCUUAUUUUCAUCAGUCUUGAAUAUUGCUUCCCCUCCACCAUUUCCCUCAUCUUUUGCAACCUUGACAUUUUUGAAGAGUGCAGACUAAUUGUCUCUUAGACUAUUUCUCAAACUGGAUUCAUCUAACUGUUCUUCUGGAUUAGACAAAAUGUUUAGGCAAAUAUUAUGUUUCCCAUUGCAUUCCAUCGAGAAGUUUAUAAUGUCAUUUUAUCUCAAUAUUUGUGAAGCUAAGUUUCAUCUCUUCAUUUUAAAUUCCUUACUUAAUAAACAUUAAAUGGAUAAUAGAGAUAUAUGAAUGUCCUUUUCCUAACAAUAUGUUAGUGUAUAGUGUUAGGAGUAAUUUCAUGCCAGAAUCUCAUAUUAACUUGGUGGUAUUUGUAAAACAGUGAUUUUAAAAUUCAGGCAUUUUUCUAGCUCAGGGGCCAGUCAAUUUUUCCAGUAAAGAGCCACAUUCUAAGUAUUUUAGGCUUUGUGGGCCACAUACGGUCUCUGUUACUUAUUCUAGUUCUUCUUUAGCUGUGUAAAAAUUAUUAGCUCAUGGACUGCAGGAAAAUGGUCUGCAGCAGCAUUUGGGCCAUGAGUAGUAGUUUGUCAAAGUCCUGUUCUGUGUUAUAAAGAAGAGCUUUCCUUUUCCUCGUAACACAUGUGUGUGUGUGUGUAUGUGUUUGUGUGUGUGUGUGUGUUAGAGGGAGAGAAUGAGAUCCUUAAUAACUUUUUUUCUUUAUAGAGUUGAUCUCUUUAAGCUUUUUUUUUUUUUAAAUAAAUACACUUUGGAUUUAACUCUGGUAAAUAACACUGUCUUAAGAAAAUUUCAUCUUCUAUGCUUUCUGAUACAAUAGCCACUAGCUUCAUGAGACCAUUCAAAUUUAAACUAAGUAUAAUGAAAUUAUAAUUCAAAAUUAAAUAAAUUAAUAAUUCAAAAAAAUUAGUUUCUCUGUCACAUGAGUCACAUUUAAGUGUACAAGUAUUCACUCAACACUCGUAGCUAGUGGCUACAUAUUGAACAGUGCAGAUGUAGGACAUUUUUAUGAUUUAGAAGUUGUAUUGGAUAGUAAUAUAUGCAGAUUUCAAAUGUAUUUGCACAGAGUUAUGCAAAAUAGUCCCUCAUAAUUAGAGUUAACUUAUACUUUUUUUCUUGUCUUUUAUUUGCUUUUAUGCUUAUUUCCCUUCUUAGUAAUUUGUCUAUUCCUUUUCUUUUAAGGUACCAAAGUAUUUAUUAUAUCUAUUGUUUUUUUGUUUUUAUCUCACAUUUUUCUUUACUUAUGCUUUCUUUUGAUUUAGUUUAUCAGUUUUUUUUUAAACUUUUAUUUUAGGUUCAGAGGUACCUAUGCAGGUUUACUAUAUAGGUGUCACUGGGGAUUUGUGCACAGAUUAUUUAGUCACUUAUGUGGUAGGCCAUGUACCUGAUAGGUAGUUUUUAAGUCCUGACCAUCAUCCUUCCCUCCAUCCUCAAAUAAGUCCCAGUGUCUGUUGUGUCCAUGUGUACUCAAUGUUGAGCUUUUACUUGUGAGAACAUUUAGUAUGUGGUUUUCUGUUCCUCUGUUAGUUUAUAUAAGAUAAUGGCUUUUACCUUCAUCCAUGUUGCUGCAAAGGACAUGACCUCAUUUAUAAAUAAAACAUAAAACAGGACAUGACCUGUUUUAUGGCUCCAUCAUAUUUUGUGGCGUAUAUGUACCACAUUUUCUUCAUUAGUCUAGAAUUGAUGGGCAUUUAAGUUGGUUUCAUGUCUUUGUUAUUGGGAUUUAUGCUGCAAUGAGCAUAUGCGUGCAUGUAUCUUAUUCUUUCCUCUAUGAUCUUCCUUCCCUCCUUCCCUUUCUCUCUUCUUGGCCUCCUCUUUCCUUCCUUCCUCUUUUUUCUCUCUCUUCCUUUCUUUCUCUUUCUCUCUUCCUUUCUUUCUUUCUCUCUUAUCUUCCUUCCUUCCUGUCUUUCUUUCUUUCUCUUUCUGUUUCUUUUUCUUUUUUCUUUCUUCCUUCCUCCUUCCCCACCUCCUUCCUUCCUCUCCUCCUUCCUUCCCUCCCUCCCUCCCUCCUUCUCUCUGCUUCUGUCACCCUGGCUGGAGUGCAGUGUCACCAUCUUGCCUCAUUGCAAGCUCCACAUCCCAGGUUCAAAUGAUUCUCCUUCAUUAGUCUCCCAAGUAGCUGGGACCACAAGCGCCUGCCACGAGAUCUAGCUGAUUUUUGUAUUUUUUAUUAGAGGCUGGGUUUCUCUGUGUUGCUCAGGUUAUCAGGCUGGCCUCGAACUCCUGACCUAAGGUCAUCUGCCCACCUCGACCUCCCAAAGUGCUGGGAUUACAGGUGUUAGCCACCACACCUGGCCUCCAUCGCUCCCUUUUGUAUCCCCCAACUCACACCUUGCCCAUGCCACUCAUGCGUACCCCCUGCCUUUCCCCACAGUCACUUUUGAGUCCUGCACUAAAUAGCCUUCAGUCCAGAGACCAGACAUCAGACAGCAAUCUGGACCUCUUCCUUGAUCAAAGAUGAGACCUCCACAAGAGGGAAAUGCCUGCUAUGGAGCCUGCAGGCUGAACACAGUCACUCUUCAGGCAAACAGCUAGAACAGAACUGAGUAAAAUCUCCAGCCAAAAAAAAACUUCUCAUUCAACUCAUCCCUAACCCCAUUUUACAGAUUGAAACACUAAGGCUCAGAGGGGAGGAGACAGAGUAGGCACUGGACAAUAGUCUUUUGGCUCCAAAGCCAAGUUCUGUCCACCCAGCCAGGCUCCAUCCUUCCUUCUAUAAAUGUUUAUAACAGUAUGUGCUGGGCACUCUUCUUAGGCUCUUUUACACAUAUCACUCAGUCUGCUUUUCCCAUUCUUUUGACAAGUAUUUAUUGAGCUUCUACUGUGUGCAUGAACUGGACUCGAUACUAUGGAUAUCUUGGUAAAAAACUCAGGCAAAGUCUACCCCCCUGGGGUUCUAACAACACAAAGAGAGGGUUGGUGCUGUGGGCAAGGCUGUGAAGGCAAUGAAUGAAAUGGUGGGGUCACACAGGAAGGGUGUUCAGGGAUUCUCUCUGCAUGGAAGGGGCAUCUUCUUGGCUUUGAGAUGCAAAUGCUAAAAUACCUGUGAGCAGCAGGCCAUGCCCACUCAGUAACAGAGCUGAGCCGCAACCCUCCAUAGAUGCCAAACCAAACACCAGAUCAGGCCACAAAACCACCUAAGGGCUGGCUGGUUGUGCAUUUGGAAGAGGGGGUGCUGUUCUUCCUCCAGGUUGACAACAUGAUAGAUUGAAAUAUACAUGGGAUGCUGGGAGCAGUGGCUCAGGCCUAUAAUUUUGGCACUUUGGGAGGCUGAGGCUGGUGGAUAACCUAAGGUAGGAUUUCAAAACCAGCCUGGCCAACAUGGUGAAACCCAUCUCUUAAACAUACAAAAAUUAGCUGGGUGUGGUGGCAUUUGUGGGAUUACAUUGCCUAUAAUCCCAACUACUCAGGAGGCUGAGGUGGAAGAAUCACUUGAAUCCAGGAAGUAGAGGUUGCAGUAAGCUGAGAUCUCACCACUGCACUGCAGCCUGGGUGGCAGAGUGAGACUUUGUCUCAAAAAAAAAAAAAGGAAAGAAAAGUGCAUGAGCUCUGGAGGUGGAGAGAUGGAAUUGAAUCCCAGCUUUUACUUCUCAGUUGUGUGCCCUUGGACAAGUUGGCUUCUCAGAGCUUCAGUUUUCUCAUCUGUGAAAUGGGAACAACAUCUGGCUUGCCGGCGGUCUUAGGAUGACUGGGGAGUGUCUGGUACGUAGUAGGUGCUCAACGUGUGUGCUUUCCCAUGGCCAUCUAAAAGUCCUCAGGGCUGCCCUCCUGCCCUUCCCCCACAACUCCUGUGACUGCCUCUUAAAUGGGCACUCAAGGUGGUAAGGAGGCACAGGUGAGGGAGCCACGCUGGAUCCACACCCACCCACGCCCAUUGUUAGGAAAACAAGCUUUUAGUGCCUGGCCCUGCUGCUGCUGGUGGCUGAGAGUAUAAAACGGGACCCAGAGCCAGCCUCUCCCUUCCUGUAAGGCACACCAAGGCAAUGGUGUUUAAAAUGAAAAGAGGCAGUGGCAUGGAGGCUACGGAGACUGAGCCAUUCCUGCGGCAAAAAGGGAGGCAGUGGGGCCCCCUGCUGAGGGUUAUCUGGCAAGUGUUUCAUUCUACCUUCCUCAUGGGACCCACAGCCUCUUCAUCAGUGAUGUCUUCAGGUUCACUGUCCCCAAGCUGCUUAGGUGAGUCCAGACUUCAGGAUCUCGCUAAGGCUUGUGGUCUCUUAAUGGCAUCCAUUCAGAGUCCGGGGGCUUCAGCUCUCAUGCCUCUGCCUAUAGAUCUGGUGCUCGGGACACUGGAGGGUGGGUGGGAAGGAUACUGAAAAAGGAAAAUGAUUAAUGAGAAAGUGACUGUCCCCCACAGGGGCAAAUAAGUAAGCUCUUACCUGACUGUAUAAAUUAGCUUUUGUUGUAAAAUGCCCCCAAAUGAGUGGCUUAAAGUUAUAAGCAUUCAUUUAUUUAGUUUAUAGUAAUGUGGGUCAGUAACGUGGACUGGGCUCAGCUGGGUGGGCCUUCUUUUCUUGGCUGGGUUUUCUCAUGUGCGUGUAGUUGUGUCUGAAGCUAGCUCAGACAUGUUCAUGUGGCUAGUAGGGAGGGUUCUAAGCAAUAGGCCAAAAGCUACAUUUUCUCUUGAGGCUCACAGCUGGCAUAGCUUUACCUCCACUCUACUCUUGGUCAAAGGUGGUUUUGUGGCCAGCCCAGGUCCAAGUUGUGUCUGCUCAGCUGCCAUAACAGAGUAUCACAGACUGAGUAGCUUCAACAACAGAAAUGUAUUUUCCUCUUGUUUCUGGUGGCUGUGAGUUCCAGAUCAGGUAUCUGCAAGUUGGUUCCAUCUGAGGCUUCUGCCUCUGGUGUGCAGUUGGCCACUUUCUCCCUGUGUCCUCAUAUGGUCUUUCCUCUGUAACCACCCAGGUGUUUCCCUGUGUGUCUACAUUUUCUCCUCUUAUCAGGAGUCCAGAAUGGGUGAAGGCCCAGCCUAAUGACCUCAUUUUAACUUUAUUGCCUUUUUAAAGGCCCUAUUUCCAAACACAGUCACAUUCAGAGGUACCGGGGGUUGGGGCUUCAACAUACACAUUUUGUGAGGACACAAUUUACCUCAUAACAAGGGGAGAGAAAAACACCAUCUGUUGAUCUUGAGGAGCUGCAGUAAGAUUGAAAAUAAGCAUGGACAGUGGGGGAAAUAACCGAGAUCACGAUUGCGAAAAAGUCAACCACGCCGACUGAUCCUCCACACCUGGCCUGGUUUGGGCAAAGGCAACACACAUGGGCACCUACUCUCACCAGCUGUAUCUUCUCCCUCCUUCCCCUGCAAGCCUUUUUCUGGAGUUUAUUGGUGAUCCCAAGUCUCAGGCCUGGAAGGGCUACCUCCUCGCAAUGCUGAUGUUCCUCUCUACCUGCCUGCAGACGCUGUUUGAGCAGCAGAACACGUACCAGAUUAAGGUGCUGCAGAUAAGGCUGCAGUCUGCCAUCACUGGCCUGGUGUAAAGAAAGGUGAGUCCCGGGGGACAAGUGCAGGUCUUCCCAGCCGGGAAAAGGAACAAAACUGAACUGGUUGGAAGUAAUGCUAUCAGCAGCUGAGAACGCUUUCAGUCCUCACUUAUUAGAGUCACUCACGAUAUAUUCUCACUUCCUUUGUUAUUUCUCUUUAUUUGGAUGUAUUUAUUUUGUUGAGACAGAGUCUUCACCCACCGUGGCUUCCUAGAGUGCUGGGAUGAUAGGUUUGAGCUACCUCACCCGGCCUCCUUUCCUUCUUAAGUCUGAGUCAUAUUCUGCUUAGCAGAUGGAUCACACUGUGUUUUUUUUUUCAUCUGAUGGUGGACCCGUUGGUUGAUUUUGUCUUUUGGCUUUUGUGAAUUGUGCUGCUGUGAGCACAGGUGUGGAAAUCCCUCUCGAAGUUUCUGCUUUCUAUUCUUUUGGCAUGGAUGGCAAUGGCUUUGUUAGAGCCAAUGGUAAUGCUGUGUGGAAGUGUUUUGAGGGACCACCAUUCAUAAAGUGUUUUGUUGUUGUUGUUGUUGAGAUGGAGUCUCACUGUGUCACCCAGGCUGGAGUGCAGUGGCAUGAUCUGGCCUCACUGUAACCUCCUCCCAGGUUCAAGCCAUUCUCAUGUCUCAGCCUCCUGAGUAGCUGAGAUUACAGACAUCUGCCACCACACCUGGCUCAUUUUUGUAUUUUUAGUAGAGACAGGGUUUCACAAUUUUGGCCAGACUGGUCUCGAACUCCUUGCCUCAGGUGACCCGCCCACCUCGGCCUCCCAGAGUGCUGGGAUUGCAGGUGUGAGCUACCUCCCCUGGCUGUUGUGAAGUGUUUUAAUCAUCCUGUUUUACUGUUCUUCACCUGGGGUUAUGAUCUCAACCCUGCUUCUCUCUGUUCCUGCUAAGGGACUCCUCGUAGGCAGCCCAGUCCUUGCCUCUGUCCAGGAGACAGCAUACCUGGAAGUGAAGUUGGGUCAGUCCUGCCUCAGUGCUGCUUCUGUUUUAGGUAAAUAUCCUGUGGGUUUAGGAGAGGAAAUACCAAGUGCACAUAUGAAACACCAUGGGCAUCCCCCAACUCAAGACUGUGGGAGAGAUGGGGUGUUGGAGGAGAGGUAAACCUGGAAGCCACUUAGCCCGACUCUGUCCCCUGCCCCAACUUUUUUUUUGAGAUGGUGUCUUGCUCUGUCACCCAGCCUGGAAUGCAGUGAUGCAAUCUUGGCUCACUGCAACCUCCACCUCUCAGGUUCAAGAGAUUCUACUGCCUCAUCGGCCUGAGUAGCUGGGACUACAGGUGAGUGCUACCACACCUGGCUAAUUUUUGCAUUUUUAGUAGAGCUGGGGUUUUGCCCUGUUGGCCAGGCUGGUAUCCAACUCCUGACCUUAGGCGAUCCACCCACCUCGGCCGCCCAAAGUGCUGUGAUUCCAGGCGUGAGCCACUGCGCUCAGCCAAGCCCUGCUCCGUUCUAAUUCUACUGUCUGUGAAAGGCCUCUGGGAGCUUACAGAAACAAUGGCCCCAGUAUGAUUUCUCCCACUCCCUUGCUCCUGGAGUUCUGGGGACCCACAGUGAGAAGUGAUUGUUUUCCUCACUCAUCUGGAUGUGAUGAGCCUGGUCAAAGAAGUUUACUGUUGCUGACUUGCAGCUGAUCAGGUCCCUGCCCUGUGGAAAUUGCCCCUACUAAUUCCUUAUGCCUCAGUUUACCCAGCUAACUCAGAUCUAUAGCUCUGCCCCAGGCUGGGUUAGGCUCCUCGCUGUCACUCCAUGUGGGAAUCUCCCGUUAUUUAUUUAUUUAUUUAUUUAUUGAGACAGGAUCUUACUCUAUCACCCAGGCUGGAGUGCAGUGGUACAAUCUCAGCUCACUGCAACCUCUGCCUCCAGGGUCCAAGUGAUUCUCCUUCCUCAGCCUACUGAGUAGGAGGCCACCACGGUCUGCUAAUUUUUGUAUUUUUAGUAGAGACGGGUUUCCUCAUGUUGGUCAGGUGGGUCUCAAACUCUUGACCUUGUGAUCCACCCGCCUCAGCCUCCCAAAGUGCUGAGAUUACCAGCUCACACCGCGCUGUUCCCGUGUGACACUUCAGUGAAGUCUGGUGUGUAGGUGAUGGCUGCCUGAAUAUCUUCUCACCACAGGGCAGGGCUGGGGGCUGUGUUGUCUAUAAAUUCCUCAGCUUUUUAUGCUGGUAAGGAAAGAAGGAAGAGGGGGCCCUCAGGGGACAUGCAGCAAGGUUUGGUGUGGACAUAGCUCACCAGAUUGUACUUGGUGUUCCCAUGUAACUUGUAACCGCUCUCAUAGAAAGUGGCCUAGAACCCCAGAGAGUGGGGGUUGCUCUCUAUCAGCUAGGUGUCGGGGGAAGAGAAGCUGAGGCUGUACAGAGCCAGGAGACAGGACAGGGCAACCAGGGCCAGGUGCGGUGGCUAACGCCUGUAAUUCCAGCAGUUUGGGAGGCUAAGGCCGGUGGACCAUUUGAGGUCAGGAGUUUGAGACCAGCUGGCCAACAUGGUGAAACCCCAUCUCUACUAAAAAUACAAAAUUAGCCAGGCAUGCUAGUGCAUGCCUGUAAUCCUGGAUACUCAGGAGGGUGAUGCAGGAGAAUCUCUUGAAUAUGGGACGCUGAGGUUGCAGUGAGCCGAGAUCAUGCCAUUGCACUCCAGCCUGGCAAACAAGAGCAAAACUCUGUUUCAAAAAGAAAAAAGAAAAGGAAUUUGCUCUGCAAAUAUGGCUGCAGGUGCAACCCCUGAUGUGUCCUCCCUUCCCUGCUCCUGCUCAUGCUCCAACAUCACCCCCAACCCCCAGCCAUGGAUUCAAAGUCCUGCAGUGCAGACAGCAUGGAUUUGCAGAGCUGUGAGCCUGGGGUCUGUCCUGCAGCAGGAGACACAAAGGAGGGAGCCCUGGGUUUGAGCCAGAGUCAGCCUGUGGUGUCCCCCUGGAGGCCCUUGGUCCCGUUGUGUUUUGUGACACUCCCCUAUAUUCUCACACAAGCCACCCUCAUUUUCAGCAUAAAUACAGAUGCUCCUUAACUCAUGAUGGUGUCAUGUCCCCAUAAAUCUGUCAUAAAUUUGUAAUAGCAGCCAAGUCCAGUAGCUCACAUCUGCAAUCGCAGCACUUUGGGAGGUCAAUGUGGGAAGAUUGCUUGAUCCCAGGAGUUCAAGACUAGCCUGGGCAACAUAGAGAGAUUCUAUCUCUAUGUGGGGGAAAAAAAGUAAAAAUAUACUAAGUUGAAAAUGCAUUUAUUUAUUUUUUGAGACAGUCUCACACUGUCAUCCAGGCUUGAGUGCAGUGAUGCAAUCUUGGCUCACUGCAACCUCUGCCUAUCAGGUUCCAGUGCUGGGAUUACAGGCAUGAACCACCGUACCUGGCCUAUUUAUUUUUAUUUUUGAAGGUGGAGUCUGGCUCUCUUUCCCGGGCUGCAGUACAGUGAUCCCAUCUUGGCUCACUGCCUGCAACCUCUGCCUCCCGGGAUCAAGUGAUUCUCCUGCCUCAGCCUACUAGGUAGCUGGGACUACAAGCACGCUACCACACCCAGCUACUUUUUGUAUUUUCAGUAGAGACAGGAUUUCACCAUGUUGCCCAGCCUGCUCUUGAACUCCUGAGCUUAGGCAAUCUGCCCACCUCAGCCUCCCAAAGUGCAGGGAUUACAUGUGUGAGCCACCAUACCCGGCCCGCAAAUGCAUGUAAUACACCUACCCUACCAAGUAUUGGAGGUUAGCCCAGCCGACUUUGGGUAGAGAACAAGCAAGCAGUAGUAAAAGGAGAACAAAACCCUCUCACCCUUCCCCACCUUGGAUCAUGACUUUGACGUUUCAGGGGUCCAACCUUCAUGAAUGUUUGUAGAAAUAGGUAAUAAACUUGGAUUAAUGUACCCACGCUUAAGUGUACAAUUCAAUGGCAUUUGGUAGAUUCACAAUAUUGUGGAACCAGUGCCACCAUCUGUUUCUAAACUUUCUCAACAUCCCAAAUAGAAUGCUGUCCUCAUGAAGCAAUAGUUUACCUACUUUUUAAUUUUUAUGUAUGUAUGUAUGUAUGUAUUUAUUUAUUUGUUUAUUUAUUUUGAGACCGAGUCUUGCUCUGUCUCCCAGGAUAGAGUACAAUAGCGCAAUCUCGGCUCACUGCUACUUCUGCCUCCCAGGUACUAAGCAAUUUUCCUGCCUCAGCCUCCGGAGUUGGGAUUAUAGGCGCAUGCCACCACACACAGCUAAUUUUUGUAUUUUUAGUAGAGACGGGGUUUCACCGUGUUUCUCAUGCUGGUCUCGAAUUCCUGACCUCAUUAUGAUUCACCCACCUCAGCCUCCCAAAGUUUUGGGAUUACAGGCGUAAGCCACCAUGCCCGGCCUACAUUUUUUGUUUUGUCAGAGACGAGGUUCUGCUCUGUUACCCAGGCUGAAGUGGCUUGAUUAUAGCUCACUGCAGCCUCAAUCUCUUGGGCUCAAGUGACCCCUCCUGCCUCAGCCUCCCAAGUAGAUGGGACUACAAGUGUAAACAAUUGCACGUGGCUAAUUUUUAUCUUUUUUAUAAAGAGAGGAUGUCACUAUGUUCCCAGGCUGGCCUCAAACUCCUGGGUUUUAGCCAUCCUCCCACCUCAGCCUCCCUGGGGGGAGGGCAGCCGUAUAGUCAUUCUAGAUUGGUAGAUAGUUGUUCGAUGGUAGAAACUUUUCGCUUUGAGGAGAAUGCUUCUCAAAUUAUGAAAAUUAUAAGAAUAACUGCUGUUAGUGAGAUGAAAGAUCCCACAGAUGAGACAGUGUUUCAUGUGGUAUAUGCAUCUGGAUAGUCUGAGUAUCGUCGAGGUAUUCCGGAUAGGCCAAGGAAGUGCUGCGGAAAAAAGGUUAGAUUUACUCCUACAAACAUAAUAGUAAAAUGAACUUUAGCAUAGGCUUGGUCAAGUGUGUAGCCUGAAAACAGUGGAAAUCAGUGAAUAAAGCCUCCCAUAAUAGCAAAUACUGCUCCCAUAGAUAAUACGUAAUGAAAGUGUGCUACUACAUAGUAUGUGUCGUGUAAUACAAUGUCUAAUGAUGAGUUGGCUAAUGCAAUUCCUGUCAAUCCGCCCACGGUGAAAAGAAAAAUAAAGCCCAAGGCCCAUAGUAUUGCAGGGGAUCAUUUAAUAUUACCGCCGUGUAGUGUAGCUAGUCAGCUAAAUACUUUUACUCCGGUGGGGAUUGCGAUGAUUAUAGUAGCUGAUGUGAAAUAUGCGCGAGUGUCUACAUCUAUUCCUACUGUGAACAUAUGGUGGGCCCAUACAAUAAAUCCCAGGAAGCCAAUGGAUAUUAUAGCUCAGACCAUACCCAUGUAGCCAAAUGGUUCUUUUUUAUUGGAAUAAUAUGUUACAAUGUGUGAAAUUAUUCCGAAACCUGGUAGAAUGAGAAUAUACACUUCAGGGUGACCAAAAACUCAGAAUAGAUGUUGAUAUAGAAUGGGAUCUCCGCCACCAGCAGGGUCGAAGAAAGUAGUAUUGAGAUUACGAUCAGUUAGUAAUAUAGUAAUUCCGGCAGCUAGGACUGGAAGGGAAAGUAGAAGAAGGACCGCUGUAAUUAGGACAGAUCAUACGAAUGGGGGGGUUGAUAUUGGGUCAUGGCUGGGGGUUUUAUGUUGAUAAUUGUUGUAAUAAAGUUAAUAGCCCCUAGAAUGGAGGAGACACCUGCUAAAUGCAACGAAAAAAUAGUUAGGUCUACAGAAGCUCCUGGGUGUGAUAUGUUACCUGCUAAGGGUGGGUAAACUCUUCAGCCAGUUCCGGCACCAGCUUCUAGGGUAGAGGAUGCGAGUAGGAGAAGGAAUGAAGGGGGUAGAAGUCAGAAGCUCAUGUUGUUUAUUCGGGGAAAUGCUAUGUUGGGAGCACCAAUUAUUAAAGGGACAAGUCAGUUCCCAAAGCCUCCAAUUAUGAUUGGUAUUACUAUGAAGAAAAUUAUAAUAAAUGCGUGAGACGUUACAAUAACAUUGUAGAUGUGAUCAUCUUCUAUUAGGCUUCCCGGUUGGCCUAAUUCUGCUCGGAUUAGGAGGCUUAGGGCUGUUCCUACUGCUCCUGCUCAUGCACCAAAUAAUAAGUAUAGAGUUCCGAUGUCUUUGUGAUUGGUUGAAAAUAAUCAGCGAUUUAUGAACAUAGUUAGGGGUAAAAUGGCUGAGUAAGCAUUAGACUGUAAAUCUAAAGACAGAGGAGUGACCCCUGUUUUUACCAGCCCCGAGGUGACAUAUCAUAUUGAAUUGCAAAUUCAAAGAAGCAGCUUCAACUCUGCCGGGGCUUCUCCCGCCUUUUUUUCCCUGACGGUGGGAGAAGUAGAUUGAAGCCAGUUGAUUAGGUUAUUUAGCUGUUAACUACAUUUUUGUGGGUUAGAGUCCCAUCAAUCUAGGAAGGGCUUAGCUUAAUUAAAGUAAUUGAUUUGCGUUCAGUUGAUGCAGAAUAAAGUUCUGCAGUCCUUAUAAUGGUGCAGAAAUUAAGUAAAGUUUACUUACUAAGGGCUUUGAAGGCUCUUGGUCUUAUUAACCUAAAUUUCUAGUUUAUAAGUAUUAGUGGGGUUAAAGGUAGUAGUAAUGUGGAAAAAGUUACGAGUGGGGGUAGGAGUGGCAUUGGUUUUAUGUGUUUUAGUUGUCAGUUAAUUUUUGUGUUGUUGGAUGCGGGGAAUAUUGUUAUUGAGUUGGAGUAUGUUAGGCGUAUAUAGAAGUAGAGGUUUAUUAGUGUUAAUAUGGCUAUUGUGAGUGGGAUAAUUAGGUUAUUGUUUUUUGUAAGUUCUUGUAUAAUAGCUCAUUUAGGGGAGAAGACUGUUAGUGGGGGUAAGCCUCCUAAGGAUAUUAUUAGUGGAAUUAUGGGUAUUAUUCAUGUUAGUUUGUUUCAAGUGUGCGAUAGUGAUAGGGUUGUUACAUUUGAGUUUAGGUAAAAAAUUAUGAAUGUGGAGAUUGUUAGGAAGAUAUAAAUAAUAAGGGUUAGAAUGGUGAUGCUUGGGUUGUAGUAUAGCACUGCUAUUAUUCAUCCCAUGUGGGUGAUUGAGGAGUAGGCUAGAAUUUUUCGUAGUUGUGUUUGGUUAAGUCCCCCUCAGCUGCCAACCAUAAUUGAUAGGAUUGAGAUCAUUAGGAUAAUGUUCAUAUUUAUUGAUGGGAAGAUUUGAAAUAUGAUUGACAAGGGGGCAAGUUUUUGUCAUGUGAGAACAAUUAUGGCUGGAAUUAGGGGGAUUCCUUGGGUUACUUCUGGAAGUCAGAAGUGGAGGGGAGCUAUUCCUAUUUUUAUUACUAGGGCAAUCAGUAUUAUUGUGGAUAAAAUUUGGUUAUGGGGUGGGUUGAUUGUUCAUUGUCCGGAGGUUAAGUUAUUAAGGAAAAUGGCUAUUAGGAGAAUUAUUGAUGCUGUUGCUUGGAUUAGAAAGUAUUUAGUAGAAGCUUCUGUGGAUCGGGGGUUUGUGUUUUUGGCUAAAAUUGGUACGAUGGCUAAUCUAUUCAGUUCUAGGCCUAUUCAGGCUAGAAAUCAGUGUGAGCUUAGAAUUGUAAUUGUGGUUCCUGUUAGGAUGGUUAAGGAAAUAAUGAGGUGGGCUAGGGGGUUGAUAUUAGUACGGUAAGGAUUUAACCAACAUUUUCGGGGUAUGGGCCCGAUAGCUUAUUUAGCUGACCUUACUGUUUAGGAUAUGGUGUAAUAGGUAGCACGGAGAGUUUUGAGUUCUCAGGUAUGGGUUCAAUUCCUAAAAUCCUAGAAAUAAGAGGGUUUAAACCUCUAUAAUUUACUCUACCAAAGUAACUCUUUUGUCAGACAUAUUUCUUAUGUUUGUGGUGGGAUGCCAGAUAUUAAGAUGGGCAUUGAAAUCUAUCAUAUGCAUAGUGCUAGUGUAAGAGGUAAGAAAUUUUUUCAUAGGAGGUAUAUUAGUUGAUCAUAGUGGAAUCGAGGAUAUGCUGUUCGAAUUCAUAGGAAUAGGGUGGUUAGUAGGAGGGUUUUAGUUAUAAAGUUGAUUGUGUAUGUUUCUGAUAUGGUUAUGUUGAAUGAUGUUGCUAGGAAGAUGGUGGUGGUUAGGGCAUUUAUUAUGAUAAUAUUUAUGUAUUCUGCUAUAAAGAAUAGGGCGAAUGAGCCUGCGGCAUAUUCAAUAUUAAAGCCUGAAACUAGCUCUGAUUCACCUUCUGUUAGGUCAAAGGGGGCUCGGUUGGUUUCUGGGAUUAAGGGCAUGAGCCACUGCACUUGGCCCUCAUGCAGUUUAUUGAAUACUAUACUAACAGUAAAAACCAGAAAGGUUGUAUCAGUACUGGAAGGACAGUUUCUACUUAAUGUGAUCGUUUUUGUGCCACUGUAAAAUCAAAAAAUUGUGUGAUCAUCUGCACUUGCAACUACUGGUAGGCUUAGACACUUGGAUUUUAGAUCCAGAAACAUCCAAACACUUCCUGCUGGGUGGGAGAAGGCUUUAAGGGUCAGAGCUCUUAGCUGCUAGCAAGAGAAGCCCAUUCAGGCUGAGUUUAAAAACUGAGGCCAGGCACUGUGGCUUAUGCCUGUAAUCCCAGCACUUAGGGAGGUCGAGGUGGGUGGAUCAUCUGAGGUCAGCAGUUUGAGACCAGCCUGACCAACAUGAGGAAACCCUAUCUUACUAAAAAUACAAAAAUUAGCCAUGCAUGGUUGCACAUGUCUGUAGUCAGAGCUACUUGGGAGGCGGAGGCAAAAAAAUUGCUCAAACAUGGAAGGCAGGGGUUGCAAUGAGCUGAGAUUAUGCCACUUCACUCCAGCCUGGUGGCAGAGCAAAACUCCAUCUCAAGAAAAAAACAAAAGAAAGAAAAGAAAAUGAAUUCAUGGGCAGGUGAGAAGUAUCGAGGAGACACGAAAUUAAGAUGACAGGCAGCCAGCUGGACAGCCACAGCCUCAUCAAACCCAAACAUGCAGAGGCUGGCCUAGGGGGGUGACACAGAAAUUGCCAGGCAUGAUGGCUCAUGCCUGUAAUUUCAGCAUUUUAGGAGGCCUAGGUGAGCGGAUCACUUGAGACCAGGAAUUCAAGACCAGCCUGACCAAUAUGGUGAAACCCCAACUCCGUUCAAAACACAAAAUUAGCCAGGCACGGUUGCAGGUGCCUGUAACUCCAGUUACUUGGGAGGCUGAGGCAGGAGAACUGCUUGAGCCUGGGAGACGGAGGUUGCAGUGAGCUGAGAUCACACCAUUGGACUGAAGUCUGAUCAACAGAGUGACUCUGUCUCAAAAAAAAAAAAAAAAGGACACAUCGAGACGAUUUCUACGCAGAAUUGUGAGUGAGUGUCCCUCCUUUUGGGGGUAAUGUCAGGAAAUUUCCAGAAUCUGGGAGUGGGCACCAAGCAUGUGGCUGAGAAUCCUGGACAGUAGCAACAUCCAGAUGUACUUAGCAGAGGAAUCAGGGAUGUGCCUGACUGGGGUAUCAACAAAGACGUCAAUUCCAGCUGGCUGUUCAUGUUGAUGCUAUAUAUCCGGUAUAUAAAUUCUCCUGUCAGAAACUCUAGUUAGAAAGGCAAAGAAGAAAGAAAAUCGUGCUCCCGUUCACCGAAGGAAAGGGCAAGAAGGCAGGAAAGUGGAAGGGAACUUCCUGGUGCUGCAGCCUGAAUCUCCACUCGUGUUGCUGUCUUCCCCACUAGACUCUGUACUUCCAGAAAGGGCUGGAGAUGGGCACAAUGCCAGCCCCUCCCUUCUCUCCAGAAGUAUUCCCCAAUGCUGACAUUCACAGUAAUUGCUGAUUUCUGUUCCUCUCUCUCUUUUUUUUUUUUGAGGAAGGUUCUUGCUCAGUUACCCAGGCUGGAGUGCAGUGGUAUAAACAUGGCUCACUGCAGCCUUGACCUCUUGGGCUCAAGUGAUCAUCUCCCCUCAGCCUCCUGAGUAGCCAGGAAUAUAGGCGUGCAUCACCAUUCCCGGCUAAUAAAAAAAAACUUUUUUUUUCUGUAGAGACAGGGUCUUACUAUGUUGCCAGGCUGAUCCCAAACUCCUGGGCACAAGCGAUCCUCCCUUCUCGGCCUCCCAAAGUGUUUGGUGUUACAGGUGUGAGACACCACACCUGGCCUCUUUCUGUUUCUUUAGAGUAGAGCAGCCCUAGUAUGCAUCUCCAACCCAUAACUGUUUCCCAGCAUUGUUAUGUCUUUUAAGCCUCUUUCAAUUUCCAAGUUUGUUAGCUGGGUGAGUGCUCACACCUGUAAUCCUGAUGUGAUAGGAUCAUUUAAAUUCAGAGGUUUGAGACCGACCUGGACAACACGGGGAGACUCCUGUCUCUACAAAACCUAAUUUUUUUUUUAACUCCAGCCAGGUUGCAGUGCAGUGGUGUGAUCUCAGCUCAUGGCAACCUUCACCUCCUGGGUUCAAGCCAUUCUUCUGCCUUAUCCUCUCGAGUAGCUGAGAUUACAGGCACAUGGGACCAUGCCCAGCUAAUUUUAAUACUUUUAAUAGAGCCAGGGUUUCACCAUGUUAGCUUGGCUGUCCUCAAACUCCUAACCUCAGGUGAUCUGCCCACUUCAGUCUCUCAAAGUGCAAUGAUUGUGAUCACAGGUGUGAACAGUGCCCAGCAAAAACUAAAAUUUAAAAAAAUAUGCAAUCUACAAGUUUUUUCUCUAUCCCUUUUCCCUUUUUUCUUUUCUUUUUUUUUUUUUUGAAAGAGAGUCUUGCUCUGUCACCCAGGCCAGAGUGCAAUGGCACAAUCUCAGCCCACUGCAACCUCCGACUCCCGGGUUCAAGUGAUUCUCUUGCUUCAGCCUCCUGAAUAGCUGGAAUCACAGGCAUGUGCUACCACACCUGGCUAAUUUUUGUAUUUUUGGUAGAGAUGGGGUUUCUCCAUGUCGGUCAGGCUGGUCUCAAACUCCUGACCUUGUGAUUUGCCCACCUUGGCCUCCCAAUGUGCUGGAAUUACAGGCCUGAGCCAGCUUGCCUGGCCUAUCCCUUUGCCUUUCUAUGAAUUUUGGAAGACUCCACAUUGUUGGGUCUUUCUCAAAGUCUAAAUUUCCUUGGUGAAGGUGAACCCAUUCUCUGUCUUUUGUAUUUGUGGCACAUUUGCAGCUGGAUUCAUGGUCACCCCAUUAGAUUAGAGUUUGAUUAUGUUGGCAAGAUUCAGUGGGUGAUAUGAUUGAUCUCUUAUUGGUGAUGAAUACUAUCCUAUUGUCUCUAUUAUUUUGUUCAUUUUUUAAAUUAUUUUAAAUUUUUAAAAUAGGGGUCUCAUUUAGUCACCCAGGCUGGAGUGCAGUGACUCCACCAUAGCUCACUGAAGCCUCAAAUUCCUGGGCUCAAGCGAUCCGCACACCUCAGUCUCAUGAGUAGCUGAGACCACACACCUCCACACCCAACUUUUUUUCUUUUUUGAGAUGAAGUCCCGCUCUGUCGCCCAGGCUGGAGUACAGUGGUGGGAUCUCAGCUCAUUGCAGGCUGCGCCUUUUAGGUUAAUGCAAUUCUGCCUCAGCAUUCUGAGUAGGUGGAAUUGUAGGCACCUGUCACCACACCCAGCUAAUUUUCAUAUUUUUAGUAGGGAUGGGCUUUCACCAUGUCGGUCAGGCUGGUCUGGAACUCCUGACCUCAAGCGAUCUGCCUGCCACAGCCUCUCCAAGUGCUGGGAUUACAGAUGUGUUCCACCGCACCGCACCUGGCCAAUGCCCAGCAUUUUCUUUUUUUAGACUGAGUGUUGUUUUGUUACCCAGACUGGAGUUUAGUGGCGCAAUCUCAGCUCACUGCAAUCUCCACCUCCUGGGUUCAAGCGAUUCUGCUGCCUCAGCCUCCUGAGUAGCUGGAAUUACAGACACCCACCACCACGGCCAGCUAAUUUUUUUAUUUAUAGUAAAGAUGGUGUUUCAUCAUACUGGCCAGGCUGUUCUUGAACUGACCUAGUAAUCCACCCACCUCAGCCUCCCAAAGUCCUGGGAUUCCAGGCGUGAGCCACCAUGCCUGGUACCUAAUUCUUAUUCACUGGUCAUGGAUGGGAGCUAUGGAACGUUUUUACAGAAUACAUGCUGGCCCCAUCAGAACAUCAGGGUUCAGUCUCCUAAGAGAUGUUCCUCUGUUUGUGCUACACACCCAAAUAAUCCAUCACAGUCCACUGUUAGAAUAUUUCCAGAAAUUACAGUGGCUACAGUCUAGAUGAAAAAACACUGAAGUAGGAGUCAGCAGACCCCGGGACUCUUUGACUCAGCCACUAACAACUUCAUGUGGACUUGGGGGAAAAAAAGCUGGAGCGACCACACCUGUAAUCCCAGCAUUUUGGGAGGUUGAUGUGGGAGGAUUGCUUGAGCCCAGGAGUUUGAGAGCAGCCUGGGCAACAUAGCAAGACCCCAUCUCUACAAAAAAACUUCAAAAAAUUUUCCAGGUGUGGCUGUGUCCCCCUGUAGUCCCAGCUACUCAGGGGGAUAAAGCGGGAGGAUCACUGGAGUCCCGGAGGUCAAGACUGUAGUGAGCCAAGAUCAUGCCAUUGCACUCAAGCUUGGGUUUCAAAGUGAAACAAAGCUGGAGCUUUUGUUUUCGCAUUUGUAAAAGGUAAAUGAUACUAUCUCCUUCAUGGAGUUACUGUGAGGAUAGAAAUACAAUUAUUUCUUUUCCCUCUUUUUUUAGAAAUACAAUGAGAUAGGCAUAGUGGCCAGGUGAGGUGGCUCAUGCCUGUGAUCCCAGCACUUUGGGAGGCCGAGGUGGGUGAAUCACCUGAGGUCAGAAGUUCAAGACCAGCCUGGCCAACAUGGUGAAACCCUGACUCCACUAAAACUACAAAAAUCAGCCCAGCGUGGUGGCACGUGCCUACAAUCUCAGCUACUCAGGAAGCUGAGGCAGGAGAAUUGCUUGAACCCAGGAGGUGGAGGUUGUAGUGUGCCGAGAUCAUCCCACUGCACUCCAGCCUGGAAGACAGAGCAAGACUCCAUCUCAAAAACAAAACCCGGUGUGGUGGCUCAUGCCUGUAAUCUCAGCACUUUGGGAGGCCAAGGUGAAUGGAUCACCUGAGGUCAGGAGUUCAAGAGCAGCCUGACCAACAUGCAGAAACCCUAUUUCUACUAAAAAUACAAAAUUAGGCAAACAUGGUGGUGCGUGCCUGUAAUCCCAGCUACUUGGGAGGCUGAGUCAGGGGAACUGCUUCAACCUGGGAAGCAGAAGUUGCAGUGAGCUGAGAUUGCACGCCAGCAUGGACAAGAAGAAGGAAACUCUGUCUCAAAAAUAAGAAUAAUAGAUAGGCAUAGUGCACAAGACAAUGUCAGGUGACACCUGCGCCACAACUUAAUACUACUUUGAGUCCGGACAGACAACGUAGGUCUCUGUGCCUCAGUUUUCCCACCUGUCAGAUAGGAAUCAUAUGAGGAUGCUCUCCUAAGAUGAUGCUCGAGGCUAAAUAAUGUUACCCACAAAUGAGCCUAGACAAGCACCUCCUGCAUUUUAAAUACUCUUCCCUUUUGGCUGUUGUCAUUACUGUUAUUAUUUUACUAACUAGAGUGCUUUCUAGCCUGCAAAAUAAGGAUCUGAAGUUUGUGAACAAGACCAUUACUCCUUACCAACUGAUUAAUAACCCCAAUUUUUCUUUUUCUUUUCUUUCUGGUUUUUUUUUUUUUUUUUGGUCUGGGAGAAAGAGGUGGAGAGGCAACUUUCCAUAUACAUUUAUAUAUAUAUGUACAUAUAUAUGUUUGUAUGUGCAUAUAUAUAUAUAAUUGCAUUUUAGGUUUUGGGGUACAUGUGAAGAACAUGCAAUAUUGUUGCAUAGGUACAUACGUGGCAAUGUGGUUUGCUGCCUUCCUCCCCAUCACCUAUAUCUGGCAUUUCUCCCUAUGUUAUCCCUCCCCAACUCCCCACCCCAUGCUGUCCCUCCACUAGUUUCCCACCACAUACCCCAGGGUAUCAUGUUUCCCUCCCUGUGCCCAUGUGUUCUCAUUGUUCAACACCCACCUAUAAGUAAGAACAUGAAGGGUUUGAUUUUCUGUUCUUGUGUCAGUUUGGUAAGAAUGAUGGUUUCCAGGUUCAUCCAUGUCCCUACAAACAUCUUUUUUAUGCCUGCAUAGUAUUCCAUGUUGUAUAUGUGCCACAAUUUCCCUGUCCAGUCUACCAUAGAUGGGCAUUUGGGUUGUUUCCAAGACUUCAUUAUUGUAAAGAGUGCAAAAAUUAACAUUCGUGUGCAUGUGUCCUUAUAGUAGAACGACUUAUAAUCCUUUGGAUAUGUACCCAGUGAUGGAAUUGCUGGGUCAAAUUGAAUUUCUAUUUCUAGGUCCUUAAGGAAUCGCCAGUCUUCCACAAUGGUUGAACUAAUUUUCACUCCCACCAACAGUGUAAAAGUGUUUCUAUUUCUCCACAUUUUCUCCAGAAUCUGUUGUCUCCAGGUUUUUUAAUGAUUGCCAUUCUAAUUGACAUGAGAUGGUGUCUCAAUGUAGUUUUGAUUUGCAUUUCUCUAAUGACCAAUGAUGAUGAAGAUUUUUCAUAUGUUUGUUGGCCUCAUGUAUGUCUUCUUUUGUAAAGUGUCUGUUCAUAUCUUUCACUCACUUUUGAAUGGGCUUGUUUGUUUCUUUCUUGUAAAUCUGUUUUAGUUCUUUGCAGAUUCUGGUUAUUAGCCCUUUAUCAGAUGGGUAGAUUACAAAAAUUUUUUCCCAUUCUGUUGGUUGCCAGUUCACCCUAAUGAUGGUUUCUUUUGCUGUGGAGUUUGAUUAGGUCCCAUUUGUCUAUUUUGUCCUUUGUUGCCAAUGCUUUUGGUGUUUUAGUCAUGAAGUCCUUGCCUAUGCCUAUAUCCUAAAUGGUUUUGUGUAGGGUUUCUUCUAGGAUUUUUAUGGUGUUAGGUCUUAUGUUUAAGUCUUUAAUCCAUCUGGUGUUAAUUUCAGUGUAAGGUGUCAGGAAGAGGUCUAGUUUCUGCUUUCUGCACGGGACUAGCCAGUCUUCUCAACACCAUUCAUUAAACAGGGAAUCCAUUUCCCAUUGCUUAUUUUUGUGAGGUUUGUCAAAGAUCAGAUGGUUGUAGAUGUGUGGCCUUGCCUCUGAGGCCUCUGUUCUGUUCCAUUGGUCUAUAUCUCUGUUAUGGUACCAGUACCAUGCUCUUUUGAUUACUGUAGGCUUGUAGUAUAGUUUGAAGUCAGGUAGUGUGAUGCCUCCAGCUUUGUUCUUUUUGCCUAGAUUUGACUUGGCUAUGUGGGCUUUCUUUUGGUUCCAUAUGAAGUUUAAGGUGGUUUUUUUCCUGUUCUGUGAAGAAGGCCCUUGGUGGCUUGAUAGGGAUAGUGUUGAAUCUAUAGAUUACUUUGGGCAGUAUGGCCAUUUUCAUGAUACUGAAUCUUCCUAAUGAAUACCAUGGAAUGUUUCUCCAUCUGUUUGUGUCCUCUCUUAUUUUGUUGAGCAGUGGUUUGUAGGUCUCCUUGAAGAGGUCUUUAAAUUCCUUGUUACUUUUAUUCCUAGGCAUUUUAUUCUCUUGGUAGCAAUUGUGAAUGGCAGUUCAUUCUUGAUUUGGCUCUCUUUAAGUCUGUUAUUGGCGUAUAGGAAUGCUUGUGAUUUUUGUGCAUUAAUUUUUUAUCCUGAGACUUUGCUGAAGUUGCUUAUCAGUUUCAGGAGAUUGUGGGCUGAGACGAUGGGGUCUUCUAGAUAUACAAUCAUGUCGUCUGCAAAGAGAGAAAAUUUGACUUCCUCCUUUCCUAUUUGAAUACGGUUUAUUUUUUUUUCUUGCCUAAUUGCUCUGGGUAGAACUUCCAGUACUAUAUUGAAUAGGAGUGAUGAGAGAGGACAUCCUUGUCUAGUGCCAGAUUUCAAAGGGAAUGCUUCCAGUUUUUGCCUAUUCAUUGUGAUACUGGCUGUGGGUUUGUCAUAAAUAGCUUUUAUUAUUUUGAGAUAAGUUCUGUCAAUACCUAGUUUAUUGAGAGUUUUGCCUUCUCUGCAUCUAUGGAGAUAAUCCUGUGGUUUUUGUGUUUGGUUCUGUUUAUGUGGAGAAUUAUGUUUAUAGACUUGUGUAUGGUGAACCAGCCUUACAUUCCAGGAUGAAUUUUCUUUCUUUUCUUUUCUUUUUUUUUGAGACAGAGUCUCACUCCCCCUCCAAGGCUCAAGUUAUUCUCCUGCUCAGUCUCACGAGUAACUGAGAUUACAGGCACCCACCACUAGGCCUGACUAAUUUUUGUAUUUUUUUUUCAUAGAGACGGGUUUCACCAUGUUAGCCAGGCUGGUUUCAAACUCCUGAUCUCAGGUGAUCCACCCACGUCAGUCCCCCAAAGUGCUGGGAUUAUGGGCGUGUGCCACCACCCCAUCGCAUAACCCCAGUUUUUUUUUUACCAACUUUGAUUACAGAAAUUGGCAUGACUCCCAGAUUCCCAUAAUGCAAAUUGUCCUCCCAAUUAUAACUGCUAGUUUGUUUUCAUUUAAGAAAAACAAGACAAACAGAAAUUGAAAUGCUGGUCAUUUCUGUUGACAAAAAGAUAAGAAUGGCCGGAUGCAGUGGCUGAUGCCUGCAAUUCCAGCAAUUUGAGAGGCUGAGGUGGGAAGAUCACUUGAAGCCAGGAGUUCGAGACCAGCCUGACCAACACGGUGAAUUCUCCUCUCUACUAAAAAUACAAAAAUGAGCAAGGCAGGGUGGCAUGUGCCUGUAGUUCCAUCUACUCAGGAGGCUGAGGCAGGAGAAUCGCCCAACCCAGGAGGCGGAGGUUGCAAUGAACAAAGAUCAUGCCACUGCACUCCAGCCUGGGAAACAAGAUCAGAGCACCAUCUCAAAAAACAAAAAAAUGUAAUGUGACUGCUAUUUUCUUGUUAUAAUCACAGAGUUCAUGUGGAAAAGCUAAGCAAUAUGAAAAAAUACAGAGUUAAAGAUAUAAAAAAAUUACCCCACAUUGGAUCAGCAAACUUUUUUUUUUCUCUUGAGAUAGACUAGGUCUUGCUAUUGCCCAGCCGGUGGGCAGUGGCACAAUCACAGAUGCCUGCAUCCUCGACCUCCUGGGCUCACUCUGUGCUCCUGCCUCCCAAGGAGCUGGGACUACAGGUACACACCCCUACACCAAGCUAUUUUUUUUAAUUUUUUUGUAGAGGUGAAGUUUCACUGUGUUGCCCGGGCUGGUCUUGAAUUCUUGGCCUCAAGUGAUCCUCCCGCCUCAGCCUUCCAAAGUGCUGGGAUUACAGGCAUGACCUUAUCUGGAGACUGGGUCUUUACAGAGGUUAUCAAGUUAAAAUGGGUCAUGAUGGUGGGGCCCUGAUCCCAUAUAACUGGUGUCCUUACUAAAAGGGAAAUUUGUUGCCAGUAAAAGAAAAAGAAAGAGUAAAAUAUUUUUUUUUGAGACAGUCUUGUUCUGUUACCCAGGCUUGAGUGUAGUGAUGUGAUCAUAGCUCAAUGCAGCAUCAAUCUCCUGGGUUCAAAUGAUCCUUCCACCUCAGCUUCCUGAGUAGCUGGGACUACAGGUGUGUUCCACCAUGCCCAGCUAAUUUUCUGUAUUUUAUGUAGAGAUGGUAUCUCACUAUGUUUCCCAGGCUAAACUUGAACUUCUAGGCUCAAGCAAUCCUGUCUCGGCCUCCCAAAGUGCUGGGAUUAUAGGUGUGAGCCACUGUGCCUGCCCAAAAAUAAAUUUUCACACAGAGACAGACAUGCAUAGAAGGACAAUGGCCACUAUAAGUCAAGGGAUGCCUGCUGUCCCAGAGCCUCCAGAGAGAGCCUGGCCUGCAGACACCCAACUACACUUCCGGCCUCCCAAUUGGGAGACAAUAAAUUUUUAUUUUAUUUAUUGAUUUAUUGAAACAGGGUCUCGCUCUGUCACCCAGGCUGGAGUGCAGUGGCAUGACCUCAGCUCACUGCAGCCUCAUUCUCCCUGGUUCAAGAAAUCCUCCCACCUCAGCCUCCAGAGUAGCUUGAGAUCACAGGAACAUGCAACCAUGCCUGGCUAAUUUUUUUUUCUGAGAUAGAUUCUUGCUCUGUCCCUCAGUCUGGAAUAAAUUGGUGUGAUCUCAGCUUACUGCAACCUCCACCUUCUGGGAUCAAGCAUUUCUCCUGCCUCAGCCUCCUGAGUACCUAGGAUUACAGAGGCGCACCACCACACCCAGCUAAUUUUUGUAUUUUUGUAGAGAGGGUUUCACCAUGUUGACCACGCUGGUCUCGAACUCCUGACAUCAUGAUUUGCCUACCUCAGCCUCCCAAAGUCAUAGGAUUACAGGUGUUAGCCACCACUCCCGGCCUUGUAUUCUUUCAGUAGAGAUGGGGUUUCAUCCUAUUGGCCUGGCCAGUCUCGAAUCUCCUUACCUCAAGAUAUCCUCUCAUCCUCCCCAAAGUAAAGGGAUUACAGACAUGAGCCAUCAUGCCCUUGGUCAUUCAUGAAUGUGUAAUUAGGUUUUGUCCAGGAUCAGAGGCUCAUGCCUGUAAUUCCAGCACUUUGGAAGGCUGAGAAGGGAGGGUCCCUUGAUGCCCAAAGUUUGAGGACAGCCUGGCCAACACGGUGAGGUCCCAUCUCCACACACACACAAAUAUUAGUUGAGCAUGGUGGCAUGCACCUGUAAUCCCAACUACUCAGGAGGCUUAGGUGAUAGGAUUGCUUAAGCAUGGGAAUAAGAGGCUGCAGUGAGCUAUGAUUGUACCACUGCACUGUAGCCUGGACAACACAGGAAGUCCCUCUCUGUCUCUAAAAAAAAAAGGCGUUGUUUGAUUUUGUGUUUCUGUUGUUACUGUUGUUUUUUGAGAUGGAGUCUCACGCUCUGCCCAGGCUGGAAUGCAAUGGUUCAAUCUCGGCUCACUACAACCUCCACCUCCUGUAUUGAAGUGAUUCUCCAACCUGAGCCUCCCGAGUAGCUGCGAUUACAGGUUUGCACCACUACCCUAGGCUCAUUUUUAUAUUUUUAGUUGAGAUGGGGUUUCACCACUGUUGGCCAGGCUGGUCUGAAACUCCUGACCUCAGGACAUCCACCCGCCUUGGCCUCCCCAAGUGCUAGAAUUACAGAUGUGGGUCACUGAGCCCAGUCGAUUUCAUGUUUUGGCUGGGUCGGGUCUGGUAGGUGUAUGGUUAAUGAACCAGGUCUUAAUUUUUCUAGGCUACCGGGGGCUUGGGCACGCACUGACAGCAAUGUCGUGGGUGGUGACAUUGGCUUCAAACGUGGAUGAAAACAAGAUCUGGUCUCCUUUUUUUACCCAGACGGUGUUGACCAGCUGACCUAGGAGAUAAAAGAACUGGUAUAUGAGGCCAUGUGUACAUCCUGGGAAAGGGGAUGCCAACUGCUGGGACCCCAGCCCCCCUGCCACCAACCAGCCCACCCGGCCAGUGGCUCUUCCAUGUUUGUUACAGCUUUUGAGAGGUUCACUAUUCAAAGGAGGAUGAAUAGUGGGUUUUCAAGAAAACCCAUAGCCAGACAUGGUGGUUCACGCCUGUAAUCCCAGCACUUUAGGAAACCUAGGUGAAAGGAUCACUGGAGGUCAGGAGUUCGAGGCCAUCACGACCAACAUAGUGAAAUCCCAUCUCUACCAAAAAUACAUAAAUUAGCCAGGUGUGGUGGCAUAUGCCUGUAGUCCAGCUACUCGAGAGACUGAGGGCUGAGAAUCCCGGGAGGUGGAGGUUGCAGUGAGUAGAGACCACACCAUCGUACUCCAUCCUGGGUGACAGAGUGAGACUCCAUCUAAAAAAUAAAAGAAAAAAUAAAGUGAGAAAACCAGGCAUGGGGGUGCAUGUCUGUAAUCCCAGCACUUUGGGAGGCUGAGCUGGACAGAUCACUUGAGGUCAGGAGUUCAAGAUCAGCCUGGCUAACACGGCAAAAUCUUGUCUCUGCUAAAAAUACAAAAAUGAACCAGGCAUGGUUGCGUGUGCCUGUGAUCCAAGCUACUAAGGAGGCUGAGGCAGGAGAAUUGCUUGAACCCGGAGGUGUAAAUUGCAGUUAGACGAGAUUUCACCACUGCACUCCAGCCUGAGGGACAGAGCAAGACUCCUCUUUAAAAAAAAAAUCAGAGAAGACCGAGAUAUCCGCAGAUAAUGCACCGUGUCACUUUCCCUGUGCACUUUUCCUGCCUCUUGGUAGACAGUUCCUAACAUCACCAUGAGAUCCUGGUGAAGGAAGGGUGGAUACUGAGGUUGCUACAGUUUUAUGAACCAUUUUUCCCCAGAGAGAGGUGGUCAUCUUCUGUCAGAUUCCUUUGAGUGUUUUGCCAACCCCUGCUGUGGGAGGUUUACCCUCAGGGCACUCCUCCAUGAAGCCACCAGGUGACGCCAUUGCCGUAUAAAUGAAACAAACUGACCCGACAUUAGAAAAUGGUGUUCUACUUUCUUUGAGCUGAGUGGGGUGGGUCAAACCUGUAAUCCCAGCACUUAGGGAGGCUGAGGUGAAUAGAUCACUUGAGUCCAGGAGUUCGAGUCCAGCCUGAAAACAUGGUGAAACCCUGUCUGUUUUAAAAAUACAAAAAUUAGCCAGGCAUAGUGAUGCACACCUGUCAUCCUAGCUACUCAGGAGGCUGAGACAGCAGAAUCGGUUGGGAAGCAGAGGUUGCAGGGAGCCAAGUUCGUGACUCUGCACUCCAGCCUGGGUAACAGAGUGAGACUCCAUCUCCAAAAAAAAAAGUGUUCCUAAGGACUGAGAGGGGAAAUUGAGGCAUGCAGACUGGAGUUGGGGUGGGGCUUGGUGAGAGAAUGGGUUCAAGUAACCUGUGAAGGACUCUCAGAAAGUCAGAGCAACAUAAAAAUCAUUUAUUCUACCUCCCACUUCCACAUUUUCCAGAUAUAGAAACAAAGCUGAGAGGCAGGGGGAUAUGUAUCCCAAAAGCACCACGUUGGUAGGGAGCAGGGUUGCCAGAGAAAACACAGGACAUCCAGUUAAGUGAGAGUUUCAAACUCUCAGUGUAUGUCUCAAAUAAUGCACAAGACUUAAACUAAAACCUUAUUUACUUUUUGUCUUCAAAGGUAACUGGGCAUCUGUAUGAUGAUUUGCUAAGUCUUACAACCCUCAUGAGGGUAAAAUGAAGAUUAGAAAGAUACUUAAAUGUAAUAAGCAAACAUGCAAAAUGAGGGCAACUCUUUCCCAUUUUGCAGACAAGGGAACUGCACGUUAGGGAGGGGACUUGCCCCAAAGCCACCCUCACAAUCCUCAGAGUCAGGAUUUGAACCCAGUCCUUAUUCCAGAGGUCUCAACUUCACUGUUGUGGCCAGGAACAGCUCCCAGUCCCACUCGUGUGUGUGCAUGUUCUUUCUUGAAUAUGACUCUCUCCCCAUCGUGUAAGUGGGUGGUUCCCCUCCCUGACAUUGACGGACUCCGUCUUCAGCAGGCGCCUCCUGACCCAGCAGACCCCCAUGAGCCCAGAUCCCUGGGACCCGGUGGCUGUCCUUAUCACAUUCCUUGACUCCGCAUCUUAGGAUCCAAGUCUGACCCUCUUCAGGAUCUGCAGCUGUGUUACAGAAAAGGGGACCCGAUCCAGACCACAAGGGAGGGUCCUCGGAUCUCGUGUAAGAAGCAAUUCAGCAUGAGUCUGUAAAGUGAAAGCACAAUUGUUUGUUUGUUUGCUUUUUUUUGUUGUUUUGGUUUGGUUUUGAGAUGGAGUCUUUGUUGCCCAGGCUAGAUAGAGAGUAGCGGUGUGAUCUUGGCUCAGUACGACCUACGCCUCCCGGGUUCGAGAGAUUUUCCUGCUUCAGCCUCCUGAGUAACUGGGAUCACAGGUGCAUGUCACCACACCUGGCUAAUUUUUAUAUUUCUAGUAGAGAUAGCAUUUCACCAUGUUGGCCAGGCUGAUCUAGAACUCUUGACCCCAGGUGAUCCACCUGCCUCAGCCUCCCAAAGUGCUGAGAUUACAAAUGUGAGCCACAGUGUAAGUUUAUUCUUUCCUUAAAAAGCAAGUUUUUUAAGAAGAUGAAGAUGAAAUAGCUACUCCAUAGAGCAGCCCAGAGGGCGCUGGUGCCCAUCUUUAGGGUCAUUUCUUCCUGACAUGCUAAAUGAGGGCUAGACUAUUCAUGACUCCCCUUUUAUAGAUCUUAUAGGGAAACUUUCUGAUGUUGCCAUGGCAUUUUUAAACUGUCAUGGCGCUGGUGGCAAAUGUAGGAGUGAGGAUGAGCAGAGGUCACUCUGGUCAUCAUCUUGGUUUCGGUGGGUCUUGGACUGGCUUCUUUACUGCAGCCUGUUUUACUGACAAGGUCUCUGUGACCUGUAUCCUGUGCUGCCCUCCUGUCUCAUCCUGUGACUCAGAAUGCCUUCACUGCCUGGAAAUGAAACCCAGUAGGUCUCAGCCUCCUUUUACGCAUCUCCUAUUCAAGAUGGAGCCGCUGUGGUUCACACCCCUCUGGCAGCUGGGCUCCCCGGGAUCUCCUGAGGUUCUGUCCCCUCCGUGCCUAGCUCCUGGGUCCCUCCACCAUCGCUGUCUUCCUGAGCCACCUGCCUCUGAGUUUCUUUAUCAGCAAGAAGAGGAAUCACUUUCAGGUUCGGCUUUUGGGGGAAAAGACGGACCAGGCAGGAAGUAGGGAGGAAGACACAGGCCCUGGUGUGGGCGAUGGGGAGGGCAGAGCUGAGUGGGAUCCGGCGGGUCUGGCUUUGUUCUUGUCUCUGCGAGUUGCCCAUCGUGCAGACCUGCCCCUCUCCUUCCCCAUCGCAUCGGACGGCGGCUCUUCCCUCCAGUGUUCAGACCCCAGGCCCUGGGUCAGAUCAAUGCCUUUUUCUCCUGCACCCCAUCAGUCAGCAGAUUUGCUUGGCGUCAUCUGAAAAAUGCAUCCAGCAGCAAGGCCCUGGCUCACUCCUUACUUCCGCCCCAGCCUCUCUCCACUUCCAGCCACAGGAGACCUGUGUGAGCUGAAUUCAUCACACCCUCCUCUGCUCAGACCUACAGCAGCCCCAUUUUCCUCAGUCUGAGCCAAAGGCCCCACAGUGGCCCACCUGGCCCUCCCUGAGCUGCCUCAUUGACUCCAGCCUCACCUUCCACCCGUCUCCCUCCCUUUCCCACCUACCCCAUCCUCACACCUGCCUGAUGUUCACACAUCUCUCCAGGCAUCUGCUUUAGCUGCUCUCCGCCUGGACCACCCUCACUCUAGAAGACCCUUGUCCCCUCCAGCACCCCCUGCAGUCAGGUCCACCUUCCUCACCAUCGUUCAGCAAGGACACACCCCGCCCAUCCCUCUCCUUUCAGCAUCUCUCUUCCUUGGCCUGUUUUGGGUUCAUUUUUGCUGUUCCCCAGCACUUCCCACUUCCUAAAGGGCCCUUCAAGAAGCACCCGGAAGGGGCCAAUGGCCUUGCUCUCCUUAGACUAGAAGCUCCACGGCAGCACAGCACACUCUUUGUGGCAGAUUCAGUAUCUAGUUAGUGCUCGGCAUGCAGAAGGUGCUGGACAAGUGUUUGAGAACUACGGAAGAAGGGAGGGAGGGGAGAAGGGUAGGAAAGAGGAAGGGAAGAAGGGAGGGAUGGGGAGAAAGGAGGGAGGGGAGGAGUGAAAAGGAGGGAGGGAAGGAAAGAUAGGAAAGGGGAGGACAGAUGGAGGGAAGGAAAGAGUUGAAAGAGGAAGAGAAGGAAUGAUGGAGGCAAGGAAGAAAGGGAGGAGGGAGGUGGAAAAAGAGGGUAGAAAGCAAGGCAGGAGAGCAGAAGAAAGGAGUAGGGAAGAAAAGAAAGGUGGAAGGGGGAUAAAGGGAAGGAACUUAUUUUCUCUCUAGGCCCAGCUGUCCCAAUUAUCUGUCAUUUGGCCAGCCUCCUGCAUGGCCUCCUCCGAGCACAGUGACUCAUGCCUCUAAUCCCAGCACUUUGGGAGUUCGAAACAGGUGGAUCACCUGAGUUCAGGAGUUCUAAACCAGACUGGUCAACAUGGCAAAAUGCCAUCCCUCUUAAAAAAUACAAAGAUUAGCUGAGCAUCGUGGCAGGCACCUAUAAUCUUAGCUACUCCAGAAUGUCAGGCAGGAGAAUCACUCGAACCCAGGAGGCAGAGAUUACAGUGAGCCAAGAUCGCGCCACUGCACUCCAGGCUGGUAACAAAGCAAGACUCCAUCUCAAGAAAUAACAAAAUACCUUCUCCAGGCAGCUGCCUUCUGAUGAUGCCCCUCCCCGGUUAAGCACAGACCCCGAACUCCUGCCUGACCCUAAAGUGCCAAGUGACGCCGCGCAUGUACUCCUCUGGCCACACUGAGUGUCCUCUCAGUCAUGCUGCUCCCUCUGCCUAGGUGUUUGUUGUCCCCUGUCUCAGAGCCUUCAAUCCCUCUUCCCGGCUCCAUCCCCUCAUCCUCUGCCUGCCCAGCACCCACCUCCUGGCCAUUUAACAUGUAGCUCAGGUUGUAAUCCCAGUACUUUAGGAGGCCAGGGGCAGAGGGUCACUUGAGCCCAAGAGCUUGAGGCCAGCCUGGGCAACAGAGUGAGACCCCACAACUCCACCAAAAAUGUAAAAGGAAGAAAGAUGUAGCUCAGGCAUUACCCACCUCCAGGUAGCCUUCCUGAUGGUGCCAUACCCAGGUGGGCUCAGGGGCAGCCUCUGUUCUCUGGGCACCAGAAGCCUCCUUUCUGUGGCAGUGGUCCUGGGUCAGCUCCUGCAGGAAUCCAGGCACAGGAUGAUGGUGGAUGGAUCAGGACUGAGGGUCAGAGAUGCGGAGAGGCAGACAGCUUUGGGAAGCAGUAGGAAGGAUCAGCAGGAUUUGCUGCACGGUGACUGUCAGGGUGCAGGGGAGAAUUCCGGACCAGCUGUGUCUUCAUCUCUCUCUUCCCUCCAAUCCCAGGAGAGCAAACGAGGCAGAAGGACUUGUGGGCCCGAUUCACCAGCUCUAUCCUCAGGAACUCGAGGACCAUCAAGUUCCAUGGCUGGGAGGGAGCCUUUCUGGACAGAGUCCUGGGCAUCCGAGGCCAGGAUCUGGGUACCUUGUGGACCUCUGGCCUCCUCUUCUUUAUGUCGCUGGUGUCUUUCCAAGCGUCUACAUUUCUGGUCAUGUCACUCUAGUCUCUAUGGUGAUCAGGACUGGGGAAGGAGUGUGGGGCUCAGGAGGUGAGGUAGGUGGAGCCUCCCUGAUCCUACCACCCUGUCCAUCAAAACCCACACAUUCUGGAUCCUGUUCUCACCGGGUUUCUGCUAUCUUCUGCGUGAAUGAAUUAAUUCCAUCAUUCUGGUGAAGGUGACAGCGGCUGUUGAGGUCUGCUCUUCUGAGAGUUCCAGGCUUCCACUGAUGUGGGGAGGAGAGUUCAGGUGCAGACAGGCUGCAGAGAUAGAAUCCAGGGUAUGAGUGGCUUUUUUGCUGCUGGCCAACAAAUGUCCAUAGCCACCCUGUCACUGACGUGAUUCUUGUUCUGCCGUUGUCAUUUAUUUCUGAUUGCUGUCAGAACACUCUUCCUAAAGCACAGCUUUCUGAAGAAUUUAAACAUGUUGAUGCAUAGGCAAGGCACAGUGACUCACGCCUGACAUCCGAGCUCUUUGGGAGGCUGAGGUGCCUUGAACCCAGUUGGUGGAGGUUGCAGUGGCCCCAGAUUGUGCCACUUCACUCCAGCCUGGGUGACGGAGCAAGACUUUGUGUCAAAAACCAAACAAACAAAACAAAAGGAUCACAAAUGGGACCAAUACCUAGGGCCCUCCCAUGCUGCUCUCUUCAGGAGUCCCCAGGCUCAGCCCUCAUGUCUAUCACCUUCACAGAGAGGCCUUUCCUGACCACCUUCAUCACCACCUGAGCACCCCUGCUUGUGCUAGUGCACUCUAACCUGCACCCGAUUUCUCUUUACUUUUUUAUUUUUGAAGACAGAGUCUUGCUCUGUUCCCCAGGCUGGAGUGCAGUGACGCAAUGUCGGCUCACUGCAACCUCCACCUCCCAAGUUCAAACAAUCCUCCCACCUCACCCUCCUGAGUAGCUAGGAUUACAGGCAGCUGCCACCACACCUAGGUAAUUUUCUUUUUUGUACCUUUAGUAGAGAUGGCAUUUCACCAUGUCGGCCAGGCUGGUCUUGAACUCCUAACCUCAAGGGAUCCAUCCUCCUCAGCCUCCCAAAGUGCUGGGAUUACAGAUGGGAGCCACCGCACCUGGCCAUACCUGCUUUAGUUUUUAUUCUUCAUAGCACUCUCCACCUGAUGUGCUGUCUGUGUUAAUGGUUUGUUUAUGGAUCGCCUGUCUCUUUCCCCCUCAUUAGAAUGAUGGAUCCAUUAAGAGAGCAGCAACUUUGUUUUGCUCAUUGCUGUUUCCCCAGAGCCCGGAGCCCUGUCAGGUAUAUGAUAACCAGGCAGUAGUUAUUCAUAGAAUGAAUGAAUGUAAGAAUGAAUAAAUGGCCGGGUGCUGUGGAUCACGCCUGUACUCCUAGCACUUUGGGAGGCCGAGGUGGGUGGAUUGCUUGAGGUCAGGGAUUCGAGACCUGCCUGGACAACAUGGUGAAACCCCAUCUCUACUAAAAAUAAAAAAAGUUAGCUAGGAAUACUGAUGCACGCCUGUAAUCCCAGCUACUCAGGAGGCUGAGACAGGAGAAUUGCCUGUACCCAGGAGGUGAAGGUUACAUUGAGUCGAGACCAUGUCACUGCACUGUAGCCUGGCAGAAAGAGAGAGACUGUCUCAGAAAUAAAUGAAAAUAAUUUUUAAAAAGAAUGAAUGAAAGACCAGAAGGCCUAGAUAGAAGGAAUAUGUUACAGUAAUCAAUAGUGCACAAGGGAAAUUACAGUGAAUGAGAAUUUAUUUGAAUAUUUCAAGAUAGCUAGAAGAGAAGAAUUUUUUUUGUUCCCAAAACAAAAGAUAAAUAUUUGAGGUGAUGACUGUCUCAGUUACCCCGAUUUGAUCAUUACAUAUUGUCUACAGCUUGGGUCCCCAACCCUCCUGGCCACGGAUCUGUACCAGUAGCCUGUUUUUGUUUUUCUUUUUUUUUCUCUCUCUCUCUUUUUGAGACAGAGUCUCAGUCUGUGCAGCGGUGCUAUCUCAGGUAAAUGUAACCUCCAUCUCCGAGGCUCAAGUAAUUCUUCCGCCUCAGCCUCCUGAGUAGCUGGGAUUACAGGCAUAUACCACCACACCUGGCUAAUUUUUGUAUUUUUAGUAGAGACAGGGUUUCACCAUGUUGGCCAAGCUGGUCCCAAACGCCUUACUUCAGGUGAUUUGCCCUCCUCAUUCUCCCAAAGUGCUGGGAUUGCAAGUGUGAGCCAUUGCACCCGGGAUUUUUUUUUUUUUUAAUUUGACAGGGAGUUUUGCUCUUGUUGCCCAGGCUGGAAUGCAAUGGCAUGAUCUUGACUCUCUGCAACCUCUGUCUCCCAGAUUCAAGCCAGUUUCCUGCCUCAGACUCCCAAGUAGCUGUGAUUACAGGUAUGAGCCACCAUGCCAGGCUAAUUUUUGUAUUUCUAGUAGAGACAGGGUGUCUCUAUGUUGGUCAGGUUGGUCUCGAACUCCCAACCUCAGGUGAUCCACCUGCCUCAGUCUCCCAAUGUGCUGGGAUUACAGGCGCGAGCCACCGUGCCCAUCUCACCUGUUGGGAACUGGGCAGGCAGCACAGCAGGUGAGCAGCGAACGGGCUAGGGAGGCUUUAUCUGUGUUCACAGCCGCUCCUUAUUUCUGGCAUCACCACCUGAGCUCCACCUUCUGUCAGAUCGGUGGCGUUGUUAGAGUCUCAUAGGAAUGCAAACCCUACCGUAAGCAGCACAUGCGAGGGAGCUGGACUGCGUGCUCCUUAUGAGAAUCCAAUGCCUGUUUAUCUGUCAAUGUCUCCCGUCACCUUCAGAAGGGAUGCUCUAGUUUCAGGAAAACAAGCUCAGGGCUCCCACUAAUUUUACGUUACGGUGAGUUGUGUAAAUAUUUCAUUAUAUAUUACACUGUAAUAAUAACAGAAGUGGGCCGGGCACAGUGGCACAUGCCUGUUAUCCUAUCCUUUUGGGAGGCUGAAGCAGUCGGAUCACCUGAUGUCGGGGGUUCAAGACCAGCCUGGCCAACAUGGUGAAACACCGUCUCUGCUAAAGGUACAAAAACUGGCAUGGUGGCAGGAACCUGUCAUCCCAGCUACUUGGGAGGCUGAGGCAGGAGCAUUGCUUGAACCCAGGAGCGGAGGUUGCAGUGAGCCACAAUCAUAGCAUUUUGGGAGGCUGAAGUGGGCGGAUCACCUGAAGUCAGCAGUUCGAGACCAGCCUGGCCCACAGGUGAAACCUCGCCUGUAAUAAAAAUACAUAAAUUAGCUAGGUGUGGUGGUAGGAGCCUAUAAGCUGACUUACUCGGGAGGCUGAGGCAAAAGAAUUGCUUGAACCCAGGAGGUGGAGGUUGCAGUGAGCCAAGAUCAUGUCCCUGGACUCCAGCCUGGGCAAUAUAGGAAGAUUCUGGUUUUGUUUUUGUUUUUGUUUUUAAAGGCAAGCCAGUUACAAUGGCUUAUACCUAUAAUCCCAGAAUUUUGGAGGCCAAGAUGGAAAGAUCACUUGAGGCUAGGAGUUCCAGGUAAACCUGGGCAACAUAGCAUGACCCCAUCUCUACAAAACAUUUUUUAAAAAUUGGGCACAGUGGCAUGUGCCCAUAGUCUCAGCUACUCAGGAGGCUGAGGCAAGAGGAUUGCUGCAGCCCAGGAACUGGAGGCUGCAGUGAGCCAUGCUUGUGCCACUGCACUCCAGCCUGGGUGACAGAGUGAGACCCUGCCUCUCAAAAAAAAGAAUUCAGAGUAGAGAAAGGUAUGAAUUGUAAGUUCAAGCAUUGCACGUCCCACAUUUCCUUCAGAAGUGUUGAUGCGUGCCCCAAGAACUCUGCAUUCAUUUCCCAGCGCUGCCUUAACAAAGUACCCUAAACUGUGUGGCUUCAACCACAGAGAUUUAUUCUCACAGUUCUGGAGACCAGGAGUCUGAAAUCAAGGGAUUUUUUAUUGUUUGUUUGUUUUUUCUCUGAAGGCUGUGAGGGAGGUCCGUCCCAGGUCUCGCUCAUGGAUUCUCAGAGCCUCCAGAGUUCCUUGGCUUGCAGGUGGUCUUCUGUCUCUGUCUUGAAACUGUCUUCCCUUUGUAGGUGUCUUUGUCCACACAUCCCCUUUUUAUAAGGACACCAGGCACACUGGAUUAGGAUUCACCCUCAUUACCUCAGCUUAGCUCGAUCACAUGGGAAGAGGCUAUUUCCAAAUAAGGUCGCAUCCACAGACCCUGCGGCAUAGGGCUUCAGCAUCUUUCGGGGAGACAGAGCACAACGCAUAACACUAUAGAUUUGCAAAUAUUUUUAGUUUGAGUUUCUGGGUUUUAUUUUUUAUUUUUUCGUGUCGGAUGAGUGAUGUGAUGAUACCGUAACAAGUUUUGAGAAUGGCACAUAUCAUAAAAUAGCCUGAUAACCCAAUUGUCAUGCUUAGGUUUUGGUUUUUUAAAAUUUUAGUUUUUCUUGAGGCAGGGUCUUGCUGCAAUACUCAUGCUGGAGGGCAGUGGUGCAAUCAUGGGUCACCGCAGCCUUAACCUCCUGGACUCCAGCGAUCUUCCCACCUCAGCCUCCCAAAGAGCUAGGAUUAUAGGAAUGAGCCACCAGCCCCAGCUGUUCCCUAUUUUUUGUUGGUACGUUGUUCAUUUUUCUCAAAAAACACACCUUUUUAUCUGUGCAUGCUGGCUCAUGCCUGUAAUCCUCAGUACUUUGGGAGGCCAAGGCAGGUGGAUCUCUUGAGAUCAGGAGUUCAAGACCAGCCCGGCCCACAUGGUGUAACGCCUUCUCUACUAAAAAUACAAAAAUGAGCUGGAUGUGGUGGUGUGUACCUGUAAUCCCAGUUACUCGGGAAGCUUAGGCAGGAGAACCGCUUGAACCCUAGAGGCAGAGGUUGCAGCGAGCCAGGUUCAUACUACCGCACUCCAGACUGGGUGGCAGAGCGAGACUAACUCAAAAAAAGUGAAAUAUACAUACAUAUAAACGUGCACAUGAACACACACACACACACCUUGGCAAUUUUUUUAUAUAUCAGCAUUCACUGGUACAAUGUAAAUUCUAUGGUAGAUUUUAUUUAGAUUAAUACAAUCUAAAUACUAUUCUAUUAAGUGCUACAACUAAAAAAAAUAGGCCAUGCAUUUAAAUGAUUCAAAGUUCAAAAACUAUGAAAGAGUAUAGAACCGAGUCUCCCAUAUGGCAGCUCAUGGCAUAUGUGUUUAUGAAAUCUACGUGAGGCUGGAUACGGUGGCUCAUGCCUGUAAUCCCAGCAUUUUAGGAGGCCGAGUCGGGUGGCUCACCUGAGGUCAGGAGUUUGAGAGCAGCCUGACCAACAUGGUGAAACCCCAUCUAUACUAAAAACACAAAAAGCAACCGGAUGCGGCGGUGAGCCCAUAUAACCCUAUCUACUUUGGAAGCUGAGGCAAAAGAAGUGCUUGAACCUGGGGGACAGAGGUUGCGGUUAGCCAAGAUCAUGCAACUUCACUUCAGCCUGGGCAACGGAGCGAGACUCCAUCUCAAAAAAGAAAAAAAAUCUAAAUAAAUUAACAUUUAAGAAAAUGAAAGAUUUGGUUCUUUGGCUGCGUGGGCCACAUUUCAAGUGCUCCACAGCUGCAGAUGGCCCGGAAAUAUGGUCUUUAUUGCAAAAAGUUCUAUCGGUUGGUGUUGGUGCAGCCUUAAAGCCGCUCUCCCACCCCUCCUCGAAGCCAACCACUGUUACGGUUCCUUUGGUGAUUCUUUUCCGAGAUGAUCUAUGCACACAAUCAGCACGUGGAGUUAAUAUAUGUACCUAAUAAAAUCAGCAUCUCCCGUGUAGUGCAAAUGACCAUGUAAUAGUCCAUGGAAUGGAAUGUAUUCAGCUAGUUUCAUAAUGAAGUGCUCUUGAGUUUUUCCCAGGUUUCCUGUUAAAAUUAUUCUGUCGAGAACACCAUUCUCUCACAGAGUACAUUUUUAACAGUGGAAUUCCCUGGCCAGAAUGUUUAUAUGUUUUUCUCAUUUCUUUUCUAUUUUCUUUCUUUUUUUUUCUUUUCUUUUCUUUCUUUCCCUCUCACUAUUCCCUCUUCCUACUUUUUUUCUUCCCUUUCCCCCUCUCAUCCUCCUCUUUUUUCUCUCCCCCACUUUUCUCUUUCUUUUACAAGGUCUUCUAUUUAAUGGCAUAAUCCUAAUUCACUGCAGCCUUGAACCCCUGGGCCCAAGCGAUCCUCUUUCCUCAGCCUCCCAAGUAGCAGAGACUAAAACCUGUGCCCCCAUGCCUUUCUAUAUUUUUAUUUUCUUUUUAGUGGAGAUGGGUCUUACUAUAUUGUUCAGGGUCGUUUUCAUCUAUGUAGGUGCUUUUCAAGAGAUCUUACCAAAAGGUACCUGGAUAGAACUUAGUCACUUGAAGCUCUUGUCCUUGUGUUGAAAUUUUGUGUCUGCCUCCUCCAUCCCGGGGAGAUUUAAAACUUCUAUCCCCUUUUCAGGCAGAUCAGUGACUUCAAAAAGUGUACGAAUGUUGUGAGGCAAGGCGGAAGGAUCACAUGAAGUCAGGAAUUUGGGCCCAGGCUGGCCAGGAAGGUGAAACCCUGCCUCUACCAAAAAUACAAAACUUACAUGAGCGUGGUGGUGCACGCCUGUAGGCCCAGCUUCUCAGGAGGCUGAGGCAUGCGAAUUGUUUGAAUCUGGAAAGCGGAUGUUGCAGUGAGUCGAGAUCGUGCCGCCGCACUCCAGCCAGGUACAAAUAGCAGCUUUAGACUUGAUCUCGCCAGGCAUGACCACUGGGCACGUUCAGCAUAGGAUCACCGAUUCUGCCUCAGUUUUCAGUGUCUUCUCUGGGGCCUGGAGUAUAGCAUCUGAAGCCGAGCUGGAUGUCUUGCUGCAUAAAUACUCUCUCCACUUCCACCUGUGCCAUCAGCCUGGGUGAAGACUCAUGUCAGGGGAGAGCCGUCGUCCUCCUACAGCCCCACCUGUCUGAUGGCUGAGACUUCUGCCUCAUUUCCAGAACUCCCAGGGGCCCUUGAACGUCUUGUUAUUUGCUACAUAUGCAAGCACAGAUUGCCCGUACCUCCCCUGAGACCUUCCUGCCACUCUCUAUAGAGCUGCCUGAAGCCUCGAAAUGUUUAUUUGCCUUUGGAGAAAUUCUACUUCCAUCUGCCCCAGACUCAUCAAAAUUACAGUAACAGCCAGCACUCCAACUUUCUGGAGCCUGUUCCAGCAGAGAGGAAGUCUGUUCUUCAAGUCCUCUUUGUAACCCCAUUUAAGAUGAGGAAACUGAGGCAGAUGAGCUCAUGAAUACAAAGUGCCAGAGCUUGGGUUCAACCUCGAAUCCCUGGGCCCAGGGGUUCGAGGCUCGUGUUCAACCUUAGAGUUUGUGGGAUUUAAGGUUGAUGUUGGAAGCGUUCUGUUUGGCACCCCCUACCCUGGUGUGUGGGGGUUGUGUCCUGGGUUGCCUGCAGAGCCCCAGUUUAUGCCUGCUGACCUGACGCAUUUGUGACUAGCGUUGUCUUUAACUGCAAAACGUCGUGGUUUGGGAGAGAAAUUCUGUGCUCACCCAGUUCACCCGCACCCUGAGGAAGCUCUGACACCACCGCACAGCUUCUGAUACAUACUGGAGAAAGCCAGCGCUAGGAGGUGCCUGUCAGCAGGAAGAGCUGCAAGCAUCUACAUCCACAUGUAGACAUAUCUGUACACAUACAUUCAUAUACACACAUCCAUAUAUAUACAUGUCUUUACAUCCACACACACGUCUGUACACCCACACAUUCAUACACAUGUCUACAUAUAGACACCUUCAUGUACACAUCACUGUACACACAAUCCAUAUCCACACAUUCAUACACACCUAUCUGUGUAUUUUGGUAUAGCUGUAUACAUACACAUCUACACACAUCCAUGUACAGAUAAAUCUGUACACAGAUGCAUACACAUUCGUCCACACACAUCUGCACAUACGUCGGUGGGGAUCAGGGAAAUACAGCAUUAAGUAGUGACGGUCUGAUAAUAGCUAGUAUUGUUUUGACAUCUUUUGGGUGAACUGACUAGCUAGUGGCUAUCAGAGGGGUGUGUGAGGUGUGUCUGCAGGUUGGCAGGGCCAUCAAACGCGGUAUUUGUAGUUGCUCGUGGCUUUCCUAGAGGAUCUCUCAUGUGGAGCCUUGGAGUGUAGUGAGCUGUUCCUGUGGCCCGCCUGCCAAUGUCUGCACCAGUGACCAACAAAAUUCUGGCUUCACGGGCCUCAAGGACUUUGGAUUGUACAGUAAAAAACGCUAUAUGCCAUCAUCGGACGUGUCUGGUCUGCAAGUGGAGAUCCGUUGCCAGUGGCGGGAUGGGAGCUGGAAGAGCCAGGAGGAUGUUGCAGUCAGACAGAUUCAAUAACCAGGGCUGGAGCUGGUGUGCAGCGUAGGUGGCAGAUGAGGUUGACUCUAGUCACAUUCCAUAGCGACGGUCGACUGAGUUCCUGAUGGAUCCAAUGAGGGGGUUGUCAAGGAGAGAAGAGGAGUCCUCUGUGUUUAUAACACAGGUUUCUAAUUUUGAGAAAUCCGGAGUUUAAAAAAUUGGGGAAGGCCUGGGCAUAGUGGUUCACACCUGUAAUCUCAGCACUUUGGGUGGCCAAGGUGGGCGGAUCACUUGGGCUCAGGAGUUUGAGAUCAGCCUCGCCAACAUGGUAAAACCCCGUCUCUACUAAAAAUACAAAAAUUAGCUGGGCACUGUGGUGUGCGUCUGUCAUCCCAGCUACUUGAAAGGCUGAUGCAGGAGAAUCAUUUGAACCCGGGAGGCGAAAAUUGCAAUGUACCUGGAUCCUGCCACUGCAUUCCAGCCUGGGUGACAGAGUGAGACUCCGUCUCAAGAAAAAUUAAAAAUUGCGGAAGAAUCGGCAUAGAAAGCCAUUAGCUUGGCUAUCUCCUGCCCUCUCUCUGGUCCCAGCUUGUGUAAUCAUGGCUGGGCUUGCUGUCCAAGCCUGUCAUUUCAGAUGACACCAAGGCCUUUUCAGGGCUAGAGAGACCUGCUGCCACCCAUGGUCGGCAAGGCUGAGUGGUUUUAGGCACAGCUGGAGAUGAAACUGGUGAUGGGGGCAGCCCUGUCAUCUUUACAGGGAACCUCACACAGCAGGUGGGCAGCAAGCUGGCCUCUCCACAUCACUGAGCCAUCUGCUGAGUGAGCAGGCCCAUGUGACAGGUAGGAGAUGCAACUCCCUGUGUCCUGUCUCCUCCAUGACCAGGCUAGGGUGUGGGCCAAAUGCCUCCUGAUGAUCUUCAUCACUUCAGUUUCUCAAUAUCAACAUCCCAUCUAAGGACAGACUCAGGCUCAGUGUGAGCCCCCAGAACUUCCCACAACCUCCAGCUGUCCCCACAAACCAUAAAAUAGCAGAUUUUGGGUUGUUCUUAUUCUCACCCACAAUAAGAAACAUAUGUAAAACAUUGGCCUAAAAUACACGGGGCAUUUAAAACACACACACAGGCUUAGCAGAUGCUGGCACUGUGCCAGAGCCAGGGCGGUGACACCAGGGUGUGCCGCUUAUGUUUUCUGAAAGAUUCUAAGGUAAGGACAGGAGCCGGGGCUGGGGGCACUCGGAGCGGUGGCUGUUGACCACCUCAUGUGGGUGUUUGGGAGUCAUAACAGCUGGCCCAUUUCCACCUGUCUGUUCUGGAUGACCUUCAGUGUUGCAGACGCAGAAGCUUCAGAAGGUGAAAUUUAUUUAACGACCCAUGAUGUGUAGUUAAUUCUUUUGUCAUCUGUCCUAUUUGAUUUUGUUUCAUUCUACUUCUUUUUUUUUUUUUUUUUAUUGGAGACAGAAUCUCACAGUGUUGCUCGGACUGGAUGCAAUGGUGCAAUCUUGGCUCACCGCAGCCUCUGCCUCCUUGGUUCAAGCGGUUCUCCUGCCUCAGCCUCCCAAGUAGCUGGGAUUACAGGUGCCUCCUGCCAUACUUGGUUAUUUAUUUAUUUAUUUGUAUUUUUGUAGAGGCGGUGUUUUACUAUGUCGGCCUGGCUAGUCUGAAACUCCUGACCUCAGGAAAUCUGCCUGCCUUGGCCUUCCAAAGUGCUGGAAUUACAGGAAUGACUCACUCUGGCCGGCCUCAUUCUACUUUAUCCUUGGUCCAAGCACAGUGCCCCACACCUAUAAUGCCAGAACUUUGGGAAGCCAAGGCAAGAGAAUUGCUUGAGCCCCGGAGUUCAAGACCAGCCUUGGAAACAUACUGAGACCCCUGUUUCUACAGAAAAAAAAGUGGUGUGUAUAUAUAUAUAUGCACAUGCACACACACACAAGUUAGCCAAGGUGGUGGCACAUGUCUGUAGUACCAGCUACUUGGGAGGGUGAGGUGAAAGGAUCGAUUGAGUCUUGGAGGUCAAGGCUGCAGCGAGCCACGAUCAGGCCUGUCUGUGGGCUGUUGUGCAGGGCCCAGGUGUUGACUCUUCAAGGAUCCCCCAAUCCCAAGGACCCUGGGGUAUUCCCGAGUCCUUUUUUUGCCUGGGGCUGGGGGUGUCGGUCCCUGGGGGCUGACCCUUUCAUUUGCCUGCUCUCUAUCCCUGCAGCACCGAUGGAAAGGAAGGAGGCUGGAUGAUGAGUGGCUGCCCUGGAUGCCAAGCUGUUCGUGUCAGGACUGUCAGGGCUGCAUGCCCUUGGCCUGCUGCAGCAGCGGGGCUGGCUGCGGACCGACUCCCUGAGGAUCCCGUAUGGCCUCCCGGGUGGCCCACCAGAUGCUGUCCUGGGCUGAGGCCACGUUCUCAUGGGCACUGAAGAGGCUCUGCAAAGCCCUGCUGGACCUGUAUGGCCUCACAGCCAGGCUGUGCAGAAGCCGGCUACAGGCUGGGUGUGGCCCACCGCUCAUCGUUUACCACCACUGAGCCAUACCUUAGGUGGCAAAUGCUUGAGAUGGAACAUUGGUGAGACGGUGAGCUGGGGAUCCUAUGGUGUGGCCAUGGCCAGCUUUGAGGAGAAAGUACAGUUCAAGCAAGAGCCACGGGGCCAGUGUGGAAAGAGAGCUCCAGGAACUACUCAGUGGUGGUGACGCCGCUGCUGCCUGGGGGCGAUGUGGUGUGGGGGACUGGCUACCUGAUGGAGGAGAAGCUGCCGUGGCCACUCCGACACCUGUCCAGGGCCAACAUGCCAUCCGAGUUCUACCGGCUCAGAUGCCGCCUGCUGCAGGGUCUCUGGAGGAAUGAGUCCUGCCCCGGGCUGUGCCACCCUACUCCCUGGGAGCCCCCCACCCCGUGGGCACAACAGCAGGGCCAUGCAGGGGCAGGGACUGUGGGGGCACAGGGAAGCCUGCAGAGGCCUGUGGCAUUACCGUGCUAGGCCCAGAGCCUAUUGGACUUCCCAAGGUCCUAUGGGACUAGGGCUGAGGCUGCACAUCCUGCUUUUCUCCAGAUUAUAUGACCUGGCCCAGCAGUGCAGCCAAGGGCGGUGCUGGGAUGACGAGCUCUGGGCUCCCGAGAAGCUUGCCUGUGGCUCAGGUGAGUCUGCUAACAUCCGUGGACUCAGCUUCCUUUACUGUGAAAUGCAGGUAACCACAUGGCUCACUCACGUGGGUAAGGAGCAUGUAUGGUUCUUAAUGCACGAGGGAGCCCCUCAUGUCCGUGGGGGAGCCACCGUACCCAGGCUUGGCAAGUAGCGGUUUAUCUGUGUGCGACUCACAUGGAAGUCUACGGCUCCCUAGAAGCGUGGGUGUAGUCAGGUCUAAGCAGCACGCUGAUCUUGUUAAAAAAAAAAAAAAAAAAAAAACAGCCUGGUCUUGAAGUCCUGUGCGUGUGACCAUGGGCUUCUCUGUGCCCCUCAGUUCUGACAGCUGACCACGGGGCUGGUAGCGCCUCCUUUGGGAUGCUGGCCCUGGCCAACAGGUGUCUGGCUGUGCACGAUGGAUGGUGCUUUCCCACCAUGGGCACGAACACCCCCAAGGCACAGCUCAGGGGCUACACUGGCUGGACUGGUCAGACCUGUUCCUUCACAGGCCAUCUCUUCCCUACCCUGAACAGGGCUGGUCUGCAGGACACCAGUGUCAUGUUUGAGGGAGCCGUUGGCCAUCCACUUAAACGGUCAAUGUUUUUUCCCCACCUGAGCAGCUUCCUUGAGAUUAAAUGGAUGACUUGUAUAAUUUUUUUUUUUUGAGACUAGGUCUCACUCUGUUGUCAUGGUUGGAGUGCAGCGGUGCGCUUUCGGCUCCCCGCACCCUUGACCUCCUGGGUUCAAGUGAUCCUCCUUCCUCAGCCUCGCAAAGUGCUGGGAUGGCUUAGCACCACCGUGCCCGGCCGAUGUGUGAAUUUUAAGUGCACGAUUCAGUGGCUUCCAGUUUAUUCAGAGUUGUGCAUGUCUUACCACAAUUGUUUUUAAAAGCUACCAGUCUGCCUGCUGUGUCCAUGGCUGUGCCUGCUCUGGACAUCCGAUGUAAACAGAAGGAUGACUAUGUGGCCUCUGAGCCAGGCUAUGUUACUUAGCACAGCAGUUUUGUAGCGGGUCUGGGGACUCCAUUCCUUGUUAGGGCUGAAUCGGGCCAUAGCCCUUCAGCUCACGUCAUCCUGAAGCUGGUGGGGGAUCACUGGGCCUCUGGCCGCCGCACCAGGGGAGGGGGACUCCUGGCCUCAGGGCAGGCUAAGCCAAGGCUCUAGGCAUCGGGGUACCCAGCAGGCAUCGUGCUCCCACUGCGGUGGGUGGAGCUGGCUCCACUCAGCGUGCCUUUGUGGCUGCUUCUCCCCAGACCACGCCCUGGUUGCCGGGGCCCAGCACGUGGUGACUUUUGACGGCCGGGUGUGGGACCUCAGCGUCCAGUGCAGCAGCAUCCUCCUGUCCCAAGACUUUGCUCACAGCACAUUCUCACGGAUGCUGAGUCGGACAGGCUUGGGGCUCAUGGCCCUGACCUUGGAGCUGAACCAUGUGACCCUCAUCUACUCCAGCCUUUAGGUGAGGAGGAGAGGCCCGAGCUUCCCCUGGAGACCUAUGCCUGUGGCAGGUUGCCUGGGGGAUGGCACUUUCAAGCUCGUCCCCUGGCUGUCGGUCAUCCCUCCUGCCCACUUCCUCCGGUCCACAGGCCUACAGGCUGUACAACUCCUCCAUGCCACGGGAUAGCCGUCCAGACCUCCGGCUGCCUUUUGCCAUGAAAAGGAGGGAGGUCCCCAGGAUUGAGCCGGCCAGUGAGGACGGGGUCUCCAUGUCCUGUGACGUGGCCACCGGCCUCUGCAGCCUGACUGUGCACCUGUGGCACCACGGUUAAUCUGGGCCCUGGCAGAGUUGGCCCCACCAUCAAAAUCCUGUUCGGGAUGCACCAUUCUCAGCUUCCAGUGCAACAGGUCCCCGAGCUGUAGGCAGCCACUGUGGUUGAGAGGCUGGCACCAAGGCCCAGUGCUUUCUUCCCGCAUCCCUUGGAUAUAUGGCUCCAAGGUGGAGUUGGCCUUUCUGUGGUCCCUCUGCCAAGGAACACAAAGGGCAGGCCUGGAUUCUGGCCACUCGUGCUGACGAUGUGGAGAGGGGAUGGGGGGACACAUGCUGUCCUCAGUCUCUGUGCUUUCUCUCCUUCUUCUGAUGAGGGUUUGGGGCCAGAGCUCUGGGAGUCUGGGGUGGAGGGAUUUUACCAAUCCUUCGUGUGCCUGAGGCUCAUCUCUCAUCCAGGACCCCUGGGGGAGGAUCAGGGGCUCUCAGGAUCACCUCAUCUUUCCUCCUCCCCACAGGCAUAUCCGCUGGCCUUCUGGACACCAGCGACAACGAAGCAGGCACCGAUCUGAUGUUGCCGGACGGCUCUGUGGCUCACAGCCUGGAGGAGCUCAGCCCGGCCUGGCAGGUGAGCAGGUGGAUGGUGACUGCAGGGCCACCGAGAAGCCUGAGCCGACCUGCCCAGGACAGAGCCCCGCCCGCCGGGCCUUCUUCCAGGACCCCUCAUCCAGCUUGGGGAACUGCUUCCGGGUGGUGAGUGUGAGCCUGUGCCCUGGAGCACAGCAAGCUCUUUCCCCAAUCUACCCUGGGGAUUGGCAUGGAGCAGAGGCCUAGGCUAGAGACAGUGACUGGGUGGCCCUGAUUUCAGAUGGAGCCUGCACCAUUCCUUAGCCUUUGUGUGCAGGACUCCUGUGGCACCUGGGAGCUCCAGCCUGCCUGCACUCUGGCAGCCACCUAUAUCCACCUCUGUGCCUGCAGCUUCGUGUCCCUGACCCUCCUCCACAGUGCGGUAAAGUGCCCCAUCCGGCGGGCACUCUGCCCCCUGGCUGGCAUCUGCCUUCCAGCCAGAGGGAAAACCUCUCUCUCUCUCUCUCUCUCUCUCUCUCUCUCUCAUCAGAAAGAGCAAAUAAUUGUCAUUUAAGGAGCUAAGAGUGAAAACAAAUCAUUUAAGGCCUGAUACAGCCUGGAUGUGUGUCUCCUCCAAAUCUCACUAUUGUUAGAGGGUGUACAUCCCUCAUGGAUGGCUUAGCAUCCUGCGUUUGGUGAAGUGUGAGUUCUUGCUCUAUUUGUUCAACUGAGAGCAGUUUGUUUAUAAAGAGCCUUGCCUCUCCUCUCUCUCUUUGCACACACUCCCAUUUCUGCCACGAUCGUAAGCUUCCCAAGGCCUCACCAGAAGGCAAGCAGAUGCCGGAGCUGUGCUUGUACAGCCUGUAGAACUGUGAGUCAAUUAUAUGUCUUAUUUAUGAUCUACCCAGGCUGGAGUGCAGUGGCACAAUCUCACCUCACUGCAACUUUCACCUCCCAGAUUCAAGCAAUACUCCUCCCUCAGCCUCCCAAAAAUACCGGCAGGUAUUUUUGUAGAGAUGAUGUUUUUCUAAGUUGUCCAGGCCGGUCAUGAAUUUCUGACCUCUGGUGAUCCACCUCCCUCGGCCUCCCAAAGUGCUGGAUGACAGGCGUGAGCCACCACGCCCAGCCUCACGAGGGAUUUGAAUGUCCACUAUCGUUUAGGGAAAAUGCUCAGCCCCCGUUUUUCCUCUGCUCUCCUACUUCAAAAAUCAUCAUCCACACAGAAGAUGACUUCUAUGAGCAAACGUGUGGGGAUUCGUCUCCACUACCAGGGCGGACCUCUAAUUCAGUUCUGACACUAGCUACCUUGAGAUCCUUCAGCCAGCGCCGCAUACAAUCGCCACAGCCAGAGCCCCACUAAAAGGGCAUAAAUGUCAGUAUCAACAAGAGGAGUGGACUUCCAAGGGCUACAGAUGCCAGAAUUCGUGGCUGCCAUCCGUAGACAUUUAAAACUUAAUCGGAAAAUAUAACAAAGGGAGGAUGAAAUGAGAUGAUCCAACUCGUCUCAAAGAAAUGACAGGCCAGGUGUGGCGGCUCAUCCAUGUAAUCCCAGCACUUGGGAGGCUAAGAUGAGCGGACCACCUAAGGUCAGGAGUUUGAGACCAAUCUGGCCAACAUGGUGAAAACCCAUCUCUACUAAAAAUACAAAAAUCAGCCAGGAGUGGUUGUGUGUGCUUUUAAUCCCAGCUACUCAGAAGGCUGAGGCAGGAGAAACGCUUGAACCCAGAAGGUGGAGGUGGCAGUGAGCCAAGAUCUUGCCACCGCACUCCAGCCUGGUGACAGAGUGAGAGUCUGUUUAAAAAAAAAUUCCAGAAUAAAAACAGAGAGGACCCAGGAUCCUUUGAGUCAGGAGGCACAAUCCCCAAGACAAUAAAUCCAUCCGUACCUAGACCCAUUCAACACAGUUGCAGAAACGACAAAGGAAAGGUCCUAAAAGCUACCGAGGAGGGUGGAAAGAAGCAAGAACAUGUUGACAAUUGCUUUCCCACCGGCAGUAACAGAAGACAGUGGAGUAACAGAAAGUAAGCAUGAGAUUAGAGAUGAUCCCCAGGUCAACUAUUGCUGAAUGAAAUAACCUCUCAGCACUGAUCUGUCUAGGAUCUCUUUACCACAAACGGACACUUACUCAAUGGACACAUCCACAUGUUGAUUUAUGUACUGUGUGUGUCUGCUUUCCCGCUAUAGGGGCCGAGUAUCUGCAAGGGAGACCACAUGUUUGCUCUGUGAAAGACUCAAUUCGGAGGAUGAAAAGAUAAGCUACAGAUCGGGAAAUAUGUUUACAAACCACCUAUCAGACCAAGAAAUCAUCUCCAGAGACUCAUCUGUAUAAUACAUAAAUAACUCAAAGCUCAAAAGUAGGCCACAGUUGUAUUCCCAGCACUUUGUGAGGCUGAGGCGAGAUGGCUCGAAGCCGGGAGCUCAAGGCUGCAGUGAGCCAGGACUUCACUCCCGGCUGCAUGACAGAGUGAGAGCUCGUCUCACAAAACAAAACCUCCAAAGUAAAAAAUGGGAAAUAAACACAUCAACCAUGUUUGCACUCCCAGUCAUAGAGAAACAAGGUAGCACUACACAUCUGAGCUCCAGUGAGUUCCGGCACGGGUCGGUGAGUCGCAGGGACUCUGCGGCAUAAAGCAUCAGUCGAACAUCCAAACGGCCAGGUUGUGAUGACAGCAUCCACCGAUGAGUGCACUAUAAAAAGCACUGUUGUAGUACCAAAACGGUGGUGGCUGCUGUUCUCAGCAGCUAGCCUUAGGCUUAGAGGCAGGAAUCGAGGUCACGGUCUACCAAACAAAUCCUCUCAGGAAAGAGCAUCGUACUCCUGAAGUGCCAAGACAGGAGGUGGUGUGGCUCCACGGGAAUUUUGGAGAAUCUGGGAAUCAAGCAGAAGCACUCAUUGUUCUGACCAUGUAAAUACAAAACCGUCAGCUAGUACAUCCAUAAACAGAACGUCUGGGACGACAGGCAUCUCAUAAGAUUUAUAGCCACAGGGUAACAAUAAAGAAUUGUCUGCAGUUAAGGUCCUCGGUCUCCCUCUUUGCGUCAGUCUGUUUCUUGAUUUCUUUCUUUCUUUAUUGAGAUGCAGUCUUGCUCUGCUGCCCAGGUUGAAGCGCCGUGAAGCA